This 59838-nucleotide long non-coding RNA is filed under the name Oryza brachyantha (malo sina). Its description in RNAcentral is "long non-coding RNA (OBRA_LNC003348)". The stretch from base 23561 to 23725 matches the Rfam family "MIR812 microRNA precursor family", at positions 27 to 191 of the family's 205-position model. The record is from RNAcentral. Lineage: Eukaryota; Viridiplantae; Streptophyta; Magnoliopsida; Poales; Poaceae.
AACAAUUUAUUUGUUAAGUUGUGAUUUGGUUCAAUGUAGGGGGUACGAAGCCUGAGGGUUGCCCAGCCCGACUCAAUACGUGUGAACGAAAUUUGGAGCCAUGUCAUGAAAGCAGCUUGUAUUGGUGGGUUUAGUGCUGGUGUACUCAUAAUUUUCGCAGAUCUCAUUGGAGUGCUUUGUUCUGGGACUGCAAUUAUGCUCGCUGUUUCUGCCAUAUAUCCUUAUGUUGAUGGCAGAGCUAGUGAGGUCGGCUCCUUUGGCUUCUAACUGAUUUGAGUUCUCUACUUCCUAUACAAAAAUGAGGAUGCAGAAAGAAUGCAAUCCAACAGCCAGCCUCAAUUGUAACAAGAAUUAAUAGUGACUUGUUUAUUUUUCAUUAAGUCGUGUUAGUCUUGUAGCCUGCAACCAACCUUUGUUUUUUCUCAUCUUAUAAUGUUCUGUGCUAAAAACAUUAUGCAGAAUGAUUUAUUUACCAUGUCUGUGUUGUGUUCUGUGCACUGUUAGUGAGUGAAACUAUUAUGCGCACAUACUAUAUAUAAAAGUUCCUCAUCCUAUCUUCAUUAGCAGAAUUUCAACUUCAGUAGUAUUUUCUCCGUUUCACAAUGUAAGACUUUCUAACAAUGAUAAAUUUAGGUAAUGCUAGAAAGUCUUACAAUAUGAAAUGGAGGUAGUACCUGUAACCGUAAGUAGCUAGAAGUUUUGUUCCUCAAAUCACUGUAUGGAUGGUCAGAGCAACAGUAAAGGAACUAGAGAGGGCUUGAACAUGGUAGAGUUACUUAGAAUGGGAGCACCAAAAAUUAAGUUUUGUUCCUCAAAUUACUUAGAAUAUGCACAUGAGGAGGACGAGGAAAUAAACCCCUGGAUGGGUGAUCUCAGACGGCGACGACGGUGUUUUGUAUGAAUGGCAGCGGUGGUCGUACAGUCAUCAGCGGCUCCUGAUGAGCUGACAAACGCAGAAAGCCAUAGAUGAACAGGUCAGUCAUAGGGUAGCAUUGCAAAGGCAGACUAGUUAUAUACCCGUGCGAACGUUACAGUGAUAAUUUGUAUUUGGUAAUGCAAAUAAAAAAUAAUCCAUGGUCUAACACUAUUAAAAUAACUAAAGUGCAUAUCAUCUUGAACAUAUAUAUGUGAUAUGAAAACCCUAGAGAGUCACGUAUCAGUUAUUGUUUAUGAAAAUUGCACAUGACCAGGCUAGCAAAGAAGAAAAAAAUAUUCUCAUCCCCUCACUCCUCGAAAAAAAGGACCCCGCUGCCUGAUCCCUUGCUCUUGCUACUCCUUUGGCCCCCACACUCACCACUCCUCUAACCACACCCUCGGUUCAAGUGACAAUGUUGAGUACACCGAUAUAAUAAAAUGUUAGGGUAAAAACAUGGUAAUUUAUAGUAUAUGUCUGCUGUUUGAGAUUUUAAAUAAUGCAGCUAGCAGAAACAGAAAUACCAAGAAUCGGAUAUGACCUACAAUACAAAAGAAUAGUUCUUUUUACUAUCACGAGGAGAACAACAUCUCCAAGUUAAACAAAGCGUUUCAGUAAACAUACUACGAAGCAGCGUACAUCUUUAUAUUGUCACCUAGGAUUAAUUUCAACUUCAGUAGUACUUUCUCCAUUUCACAAUAUAAAAAGCAUUAUCUAGAUUCAUAUGGAUGCUAACGAAUCUAAACAUAUAUAUAAAUUAUAUACAUUUAUCAAUUGAUUAAUUUAGACAAAGCUAAAAAGUCUUACAAUAUAAAAUGGAGGCAGAACCAUAUAACCACAAGUAGCUAUAAGUUUUGUUCAUGGUCAGAGCAACAAUAAAGUAACUAGAGCAACAGUAAAGGAACUAGAGAGGGCUUGAACAUGGUAGAGUUACUUAGAAUAGGAGCACCAAAAUUAAGUUUUGUUCCUCAAAUUACUUAGAAUGGGAGCACCAUGGCACGAUGCACAUGAGGAGGACGAGGAAAUAAACCCCUGGAUGGGUGAUCUCAGACGGCGACGAAGGCGUUUUGUACGAACGACAGCGGUGGUCGUACAGUCAUCGGUGGCUCCUAGUGAGCUAACAAACACAGAAAGCCAUAGAUGAACAGGUCAGUCACAGGGUAGCAUUGGAAAGGAAGAUUGAGAGGAGGACAAUCACUACAUCUGUUUUUAGAGAAUAAUGCAUGAUAAAUAUGUAAACACAAUAUAUGUGAUAUAACCAUCACUUCUAUGAUUACUUUUAGGGCAUAUCACUAACACAUACCUCGAAGCAAACCUGUGAAGAAAGUAGAUAAACCGGAGGAGGUUCCUCUGACUUAAAGUUAGAAGAACAUUGAGACUGACAUAUGGGCCCCACUGUGUAUGGGCCCACAUGUCAGCGAGAGGGGUGUCCCUAAAGUCAGAGGAUCCCUUUCCAGAUAAACCGGUCAAGAAGACAUCGUCGAUGACACAUCUACUUAUCCCUAAUCCUACACCGCCGUCGGCAGCGACAAUCUCUCCGGCGUGCCGUGAGACCAAACCAUCGAAAUCAUACAGCUGCUCCAAUUUGAGGGUAGUUGCGUCGACACUAGAGAGAAAAGUAUACGCGCCUACAAAGAAAGAUCAUUGGAGAUGCAUAUUGAGAUCGUAUUCAGACUACAGCUAACCGAAAAUUCACAAAUUAGUAUAAACAUACCAGAAGACGUAGGCAGGUGGAGCGAUGAGUGUCUGGACAGCCAGCCCAGUCAGCGUCAGUGUAGACGAUGAGCUCAGUGGAAGGAGACCGGUGAAGGACCAAGCCGUAGUCAACUGUGCCACAAGCAUAGCGGAGGAGCCGCUUCAGAGCAGCGAGGUGUGACUCGCGGGGUUCAUGCAUAUGGAGGCAGACCUGCUGGAUGGCAUAUGUGAUGUCUGACCCAGUGAAAGUGAGUUACUGCAAGGCCCCUGCAAGGCUCCGGUAUGCAGUCGGGUCAGCAACAGGAUCGACCAAGUCUGUAGAAAGCUUCGCCUGAGUGUCGACCGGAGUGGAGCACGCCUUGCAAUCAGUGACUGGCCUGAGUGUCAAGGGCAUACUGGCGCUGGUGAAGAAAGAGGCUAGAAGGACGAGGCUCGACAGUGACACCCAGGAAGUGGUGGAGCACACCUAGAUCCUUCAUGGCAAACUCCUGCUGCAGGGACUGGAUGAUGCACUGAAGCAAGAGCUAACCGGACGCUGCAAGGAUGAUGUCAUCGACAUACAGUAGCAGAUAUGCAGUGUCAGUGCCACGGCGGUAGACAAACAGGGAUGUAUCCGACUUGCACUCUGUGAACCCCAAGGAGACUAAGAAUGUGGCAAACCGAGAGUACCAAGCCUGCGGAGCCUGCUUCAGUCCAUAGAGGGAUUUGUUGAGGCGGCAAACCUUGUCAGGAUGACUGGAAUCCACAAACCCCGCUGGCUGGCUGCAAUAGACUGUCUCAGACAAGGUGCCAUGGAGAAACGCGUUCUUGACAUCCAGCUGGUGCACAGGCCAUGAGCGAGAGAGAGCAAGCGAGAGAACCACGCGCACUGUGGCAGGCUUCACCACCGGGCUGAAAGUCUCAUCAUAGUCCACACCAAGCCGCUGAGUAAAGCCCCGGAGAACCCAACCAGCCUUGUAGCGGUCCAAAGAGUCAUCAGCACGACACUUAUGCGUCCUAUCCACUUGCCAGUGACCACAUUGCAACCAGACGGACGUGGUACAAGGUCCCACGUCUGGUUGGCAAGAAGGGCCGCAUACUCCUCCUCAAUCGCCUAACGCCAGUGGGGAUCAGCGAGGGCAUCGCGUACAGAGGAGGGAAGCGGGGAUAUCCCCGGCUCGCCAGCGGCGGCGGAGAGGACCUUUGGGGGGAGAACGCCCGCCGCCCCCCGUGUCACCAUGGGAUGAGUGUGGCCAGGAUCCCGAUGGAGGACAGGCGGAUGGUAAACCACAGGAUCAGGACGACCUCGAGUGGCAAGAUCGGACUGUCCGGUCCCUGGGUCCGGACCAUCUAACCGGUCCUCACGGUCAAACAGAGGGCUAGGACCGGACUGUCCGGCCCUUGGGUCCGGACCGUCCGGCCAGAACUCCCGGCCAGACAGAGGGCCAGAGCUGAACUGUUUGACCCCUGGGUCUGGACCGUCCGGCGGCAGAGAUGGAGAUGCCGGCACCGGGGCCGGCGCUGAUCGACGUCGGUAAACGAGAACCGGUCGGUCGGGAGAGGACACCGUUGUCGCUCGUGGCACGGGAGAGGACGUCGGGGCCACACGUGGCGUAGCGGAGACGACCGGAAGUGGAGUCGGUGGAACCGGGUGACCUGCAUGUAAAGGGUAUAUAGAGACAGGUGGCUGGACCACCGGGUGUAGUGGAGGUGGAGUAGGGGAAGUCUGACUCAUCAAACAUGACAUGCUGGGAGAUAAGGACUCGGCGAGAGGUUAGGUCGAAGCAGCGGUACCCCUUGUGGUCAGGGGAGUAGCCAAGAACACGCACCGAGUCGAACGAAGCGCCAGCUUGUGAGCAGUGGUGACAGAGGUGUUGGGGUAGCAGGCGCAGCUGAAGACACGGAGGUGAUCAUACUGAGGAGGGGUUCCGAAAAGGGGGUGAUGUGGGAUGGGAGCUGGGGAGGCAAUGGAGGGGAGACGGUUGAGAAGGUAGGUAGCAGUGUGGAGCCCCUCGGCCCAAAAGCAGGUAGGAAGAGAGGCCUGGAAAAGGAGGGUGCGCACCACGUCGUUCGUGGUACGGAUCAUCCGCUCAGCCUUGCCGUUCUGAGGGGAGGUGUAUGGGCAAGACAUGCGCAGGUGUAUGCCACGAGAGAGGAAGAAGGCACGAGAGGCGCUAUUGUCGAACUCACGACUAUUGUCACACUGAACGGCUUUGAUGGUUAGACCAAAUUGAGUGGUGACCCAGGCAAAGAAGUGGAGAAGGGUGGAGAACGUGUCAGACUUCGCACGCAGCGGAAAAGUCCAAGAGUAGUGAGAGAAAUCAUCAACAAUCAGUAGAUAGUAUUUAAAGCCAGAAAGACUGAUGACAGGAGAGGUCCACAGAUCACAGUGAAUAAGAUCAAAAGCAUCACUCACACGCGAAGAAGAAGAAGAAGAAAAAGGAAGUCUAACAUGACGGACUAACUGGCACGCAUGACAAAAAAUCCCAUCAGUUCCCCUAGUACAAGAAAGAUCUGCACUACGACUGAGCCGAGCCAAAACGUCGCGGCCGGGAUGACCAAGCCGGCGGUGCCAAGUAGUGGAAGAAAUAGUAGUGGCAAAAGCAACUGACGAAGGUGGAGGCGAGGAGGGAGCAGCGGAAACCGGAAGACGGAGGGUGUAAAGGGGUCCCUGGCUGUCACAUCGGAGGAGUUGACGCCGGGAAGCCAAAUCCUUCACAGUAAGACCAGAAGAGUCAAACUCAACAGAAUAGGAAUUGUCAGCGGUAAAUUUGCGAAUAGACAGAAGGUUGUGAACCAUCUGAGGGCAACAAGAACAUUAGGAAGGUGAAAGGAACCAUGAACAAAGCCCACAAAGGUGACAGGAAGGAAAGAACCAUUGCCAACCAUGAUGGCAGAAGGAUAGGAGGGAUGGGGAGGAUGGAUGGAAGAAAGAAUACCAGCAUCAGGUGUGGUGUGGUAUGAGGCACCUGAGUCGACGAUCCAUUUCGCGCUGACCGACGACGUCAGCUGCAAGGUGCUGAAGGACUAGGCCAGUUCCGCCUGGUCCCACCCCCCCGACCAGGCUGGUUGAGUCGGAGCAGGAGUUGAAAUCCUAGGGAGAUAGCAUAGAGAGGGGGUGAAUAGGCUACCUGAAAGAUUUUCUUGAAUGCAGCGGUCAGUAGGGUUGGACCGUCCGAGCUCAGGGGCGGACCGUCCGGCCGGGGCUCUCGGGUUGGGCCGAGGGUUUUGGCCGGACCGUCUACCUAUGAACACCGGACCGUCUGGUCAGUGAAAGGAGGGAUGCCUAUGAACACGCAUCUACCGGUCGCACAAGAUCGCUCAAAGACGCUUAAGGUCACUCACUAAUCUCUCUCAACACAACCUAGGCUAGGUUCUCACUUUAAUCACUCUAAAGAGUGUUGGGAUUAGUGAGGGAGGCUUAGGGGGUGCUAGAACAACCCUAGAAUCACUUCUGUUUGAACUAGGAGCCUCUCCAACGGCUAGAAUCCCGAGGUGGGUUAAAUAGUGCAUUCAAACGUCAGCUAGCCGUUGGAUAAAGUUACAAGGGCCGGACUGUCCGGGCCUAGGUGCCGGACCAUCCGGCCAACACUUGUACUCUAGAUUCUGCCUGGGACCGGACUGUCCGGGCCCACCCGGACUGUCCGGUCGAGGCUCUCUGGAAUUUUUGUAAUUCUAGCCUCUAGCACUCAUCACUCAAACCGUGGAUGCAUGUGUUGACUAGGUGACCCCUCUUAAUAGUACGGAUUGUCAUACGACUCAAGACGAAAAGGAAAACACCUUCGCUUUGAUUCCGAUUGAUUUAUCGCCUUAAGGGUCACUUCCCGUUCAACUUGAAUAAUUUGCAGUAGGAGUAUGAAUUAGACUUCACUUGUCUUCUCUGCAUCCACAAACGGUUAGCACACACAUGCUUUAACGAGAAUUGUCAUUAAUCAUCCAAAAUAGGCUUAGGGGCUAGAUGCACUUUCAAUCUCCCUCUUUUUGGUGAUUGAUGACAAUACUCGUUAAGUCAUGUCAAAAGCAACAAUAAUAGAAGAGAGACAUAUAUUCUAGCUCCCCCUACAUGUGUGCCAACAAUAAAGGAGACAUCCAUACAUGCUUAAUCGAAUAAGUCUAAACAACACAUAAGCAUUUAAAGGUUCAAGCAUCCAAACAAACACACAUGCAAGGAAAUAGAGUGCGAGCUAGACUUAACAGUCAUUACAACCCAGCGAACAAACUUAAAUAGAAUUAACAAAGUUUGAGAGAUAGGGUGGUUGUUCUGGAGAGGGGGAGGCCGGACUGUCCGGCUUCAGGGCGGACAGUCCGACACUGUCAAGUCAAAAGAAUGAUGACCCCCCUCAAUUCCCUACAACUUCUCCCCCUUUGGCAUCAAGGCACCAAAAAGGAAUAGUGUAGGGGGAAUGAGGGGACCGAGGGGACCACUCCUCAUCAUCCUCAUCGUCGUCUGUCGCCGCAUCAUCCUCAUCAUCAUCUUCUUCGCCCUCUGCCUCCUCAUUCUCCUCCUCCUCGGUUUCUUCAUCACUAUCUUGAGGAGCACGGGAGAAAGAAGCACCAGCUGCCCGUUCCGCCUGGUCCGCCUCAUAGGCCUCGAAGGGAUCAAUAUACUCUUCGUCUUCAGAUUCUGGAGGAAUCUCAUGGCCGGCAUUGCGCAAAAUCUGAUUGAUCUUGCGCUCAUUUGAUUUGAUCUUGAUGGCAUUUUUCGUGCAGAUGCUGAAGAUGGCGGAGAGGGCUCUGUUGAUCGGUGAGGAGGAUGGAGAGCCUGAAGACGGACGAGCCGUCUUGGAUGUGCCAGAAGAGCUAAUAGGUCUACCCUUGGAUCCAGUGACCUUCGGUGCUUGAGGGAUCUUGGGUCGGUACGCGUAAUGCUCACACUCUCCCUUGAAAUAAAAGCCAGUGGCACGCUGAAUCAUCAUGUGAAGGAAUGGAGCAUAGGACAUCCCCUUCGAAGGAUCAAGAACGAUAGCCUGGAUCUCAUUCCAAAUGUACUUCAUGAUGCUGAAUGGCUGAGCAGAGGCACGCAUGCGAAGAAGUAGGGCUGCAUGCCUUGUGGUAAGGGCCGACUUGUCUCCACUAGUAGGAGCCAGAGUGGUCUUGAUCAACUUGAGCAGAAGAUCGAAAUGAGGAAGAAGACCUUUUGUGGUGCCCAGAUGAAUUUGGCUUCCAUCAUCCACAUAAAGCCUCCUGAUCAUAUCCUGAGAUGGCGCUGGCUCAUCAUGAAGGCUGGCUUGUUAAGGUCCUGACUAUAGAUCCCUAAGAUAUCUGCAAACUCAGACAUGGUGAUAGUGUACUCUAUUCCUUCUGUCAGCCAACGAAGUUGCUGCUCUGUCUCAUCCUCACUAUCUUCAAAGAAUGCAGUUGCAUAGAACUGUCCAAUGAGCUCAGCACUCCAAGCAUGCUCAUGACCCAUCAACUCGCCCACGUGCUUUUCAUGGCACACGCGAAUCACAGUCUUUGCUACCAUACUGCUCUGCUUCCUCAGAAAGUCCCAAUCUAUCCAUUUCAUCUCUGUAAUAGCCGGCUUCUUGCGACCCAUGAAGACGGAGUUAUACCAAUCAACUUGAACAUCAGUGUAAAACCGAUAAUCCAAGUCGCAGCGAAACUGAGCUUCUGGGGCCUUUCCUCUGUCUAUUCUAGCUCUUGCCAUGUUGUGCAGGUAGUCCACCCUUUUUCUUGGAGUUUCAUGAGCAGGGGUGAAGAUCUGCACUCUCCUGGGGACAAGGGAGAUUGCUCCCUCUGCUGCCUCAUGAUUGGGGCGUUGGGCAUCACAAGACCGAGGAGUGGUGCCUUGGGUAGACUUGGAGGGAGUACCCUAGGAGGAUCCCAAACUGCGAGGUUCCUCAAUGCGAAUUCCGCCACUUGGCCGCGGACGGUUCGCUGCCUUUUUUACUCUUCUUCUUGGGGAGACCUCACAACAUUUUUUUUGCCAACUUUCUUGGAUGAGACCUCAUCAAUGGUCUUCUUGCCAAUCCUCCCCCUUGGAUACUGCACUGGUGGGGAAUGGUCACCGUCGGACUCAGUAGAAGUGGACACGGGAUCUUGACGCUUCUUGCAUCGUUUUUGCGGCACAUUGCUGCUGCUGCCUCUACAAGUCAUGAUGAUCUUACACCCACAGAGAGUCAAAGACAGGUAUGAGUAAAGUGAGUGUAAGGUAGAGCCAAGAGGUGCAAUGGUUAGAAAGACAGCAGGGGUCGAACAGUCCGGGUGGUGUCCAGACAGUCCGGUCAGAGUUCUCGGCCAGGCCGAGCCCCUUGGCCGGACCGUCCCGUCAAGAGCACCGGACCGUUCGGUCCUAGGUAGGUCGCAAAGAUCGACCAAUGCAAUUUGAGUUUUGCAAUGGAUCGGCUAACUAGACACUUAGGAGAAAGACCCUAUGAAGUUGGAAUACUUUCUACGUCCUCAGAUUGAGAGAUCGGGCAAAAGGAACGUAGAAAAUCGAAGAAUGGAUUUGAACCAAUACCUCGAGUCACGGGGCGUCGAUCCUUGUCGCGGGGAUGAGUUCUUCACUUCGAAUGGAAGGAAAAACGUGAAACCCGACGGAGUUUUGACUGUGGAAUCGCGAGACCACCUCGGGGGGUGAGAGAGGAAACUAGGGUUUGAGGAAGAGAGAGAGAUUGAGGGGAGAAACUGACUAAGAGUCGGGCUCCCAGGGUAUUUAUGCCCUGGGGGCCAGACUGUCCAGUCAGGGGCUGGACCGUCUGGCCGCUUGAGAACAGGCAGACCGAGGGCUUUGAUCGGACUGUCUAGCUAGGGGGCGGACAGUCCUACCUAAGCAAAUUGGGUUGAGAUAAAAGAAGCUGAAGCGAAAAUCUACGAGGUUCGUCGAUUUUUGUUUGAGUACCAGAUCAAUCAACAUUACGUAACAAUGAUCCUCAAUCAAAAAUCAACCUUUUCGCAAUCUAGAAAAAGAGUUUUCGCAAAACACACAAGAUUUUCACAAUGUUUUUCACAAAACAAGAGUUUUGAAGUUUUGUAUUUGGGGGAAUGUUUGAGCCUUACUCCUGGUAUUUAAGACCAAUUCUAUGUAAGAAUUGACCAUAAAAAAUACGAAGACUCAUGUCGUUUUAACAAAUGCAAGAAAUUGACUUUAACUAUUUAGAAGUUAAACCGGUUUUCAUGCAACAUUGCGAGAAUCCGAGAUAUUUAGCUCAUUUCUCAACUCGCAAAACCUUUUCUCAUCUAAGGGCUUGGUGAAAAUGUCGGCUAGUUGGUGUUCGGUUCUCACAUGGGUAAGGGUGAUGUCUCCUUUGGUUUCAUGAUCCCUCAAGAAGUGGUGUCGGAUAUCUAUAUGUUUGGUUCUUGAGUGUUGGACCGGGUUGUUAGCUAUUUUGAUAGCGCUCUCAUUGUCACAAAGGAGUGGGAUCCUAGUCAUGGUAUAUCCAAAAUCUUGGAGGGUUUGCUUCAUCCAUAGGAGUUGAGCACAACAUGCACCGGCGGCUAUAUACUCGUCUUCGGCGGUGGAUAAAUUAUGAAAUUUUGUUUCUUGGAUGACCAUGAGACUAAGAACCGUCCAAGGAAUUGACAAGUCCCCAAGGUACUUUUUCUAUCAACCUUACACCUGGCGUAAUCCGAAUCGGAAUAGCCAACUAGCUCAAAGUUACACCCUUUAGAAUACCAAAGCCCUAGGUUUAGAGUAUGAACUAGAUAUCUUAGAAUUCCCUUUACGGCCAUCAUAUGACACUCCUUAGGAGCGACUUGAAAUCUAGCACACAUGCAAACACUAAGCAUGAUAUCGGGCCUAGAUGCACAGAGGUAAAGGAGUGAACCAAUGAUAGAGCGGUAUACCUUCACGUCCACAUCCUUACCAUUUAUGUCGAGGUCGAGAUGCCCGUUGAUUUGCAUUGGUGUCUUGAUGGGUUUGGCCUCAUGCAUAUCGAACUUCUUUAGAAUAUCCUUCAAAUACUUCGCUUGCGAUAUGAAUGUGCCAUCUUUGAGUUGGCACACUUGAAAUCCGAUAAAGAACUUCAACUCCCCCAUCAUUGACAUCUCGAACCUCUUGGUCAUGAUCCUACUAAACUCCUCACUAAAGGAAAUGUCAGUUGAGCCAAAGAUUAUGUCAUCGACAUAAAUUUGGCACAUGAAUAGAUCAUCAUCAAAUCUUUUAGUGAAAAGAGUAGUGUCGGCCUUUCCGAUUUCAAAACCAUUGUUGGCCAAGAAAUCGCGAAGGCACUCAUACCAAGCUCUAGAGGCUUGCUUAAGCCCGUAGAGAGCCUUGUGGAGCUUGUAGAUGUGCUCGGGGUGCUUCGGAUCCUCGAAUCCCGGUGGUUGCUCCACAUACACCAAUUCGGAUAUUGGUCCAUUUAAGAAGGCGCUCUUGACGUCCAUUCGAUACAACUUGAAAUCAUGGUUAGCGGCAAAAGCUAAUAAAAUACGAAUGGACUCAAGGCGAGCAACCGGUGCAAAGGUUUCACCAAAGUCAAGUCCUUCGACUUGAGUAAAACCUUGUGCCACUAACUGGGCUUUGUUUCUUGUGACGACUCCAUGUUCAUCUUGCUUGUUGCGGAAGACCCACUUGGUCCCGAUGACAUUUUGCUUGGGCCUUUCUACAAGCGACCAUACUUCAUUUCUCUUAAAAUUGUUAAGCUCUUCUUGCAUGGUCAUUACCCAAUCCGGGUCUCCAAGUGCAUCUUCCACUUUCACUGGUUCCAAAGAUGAAACAAACGAGUAUUUUUCACAAAAACAUGCAAUUCGGGAUCGAGUCGUUACCCCUUUUCGCAUGUCGCCAAGGAUGUUGUCCACCGGGUGGUCCCUUUGUUCAGUUUGGUGAAUUCGAGAAUAGUGCACCGUGGGGGCGGGAACCAAUUCUUACUCACUCGCGCCCACAGCAUCAAUCCCAUCCUCAAGGUCUUUAUUGUCACCACCAUCACAAACUUGUACUUGAUCAUCUUGGGUUGAGAGUCCUUGUUGAAGAUCUUGUUCUUGCUCUUGCUCCCCCUCAACCUCCCGGGGUCUCAUAUCUCCAAUGGCUUUGUUGUUUAUAUCCUCCCUUGAAGUUCCAAUUCCUACAUCAUUCACUUCAGCUUGCUCUACUUGAGAGCCAUUAGUUUUAUCAAACGUCACGUCCCUUGAGACUUCAACAAUAUCGGUGGUUUUGUUGAAGACCCGGUAGGCACGUGCGUUUGCCUUGUAUCCUUAUAAGAAGCCUUCGUCUAUUUUGGAAGCAAAUUUUGAAGAUCCAGGCCUUUUGCUAAGAAUGAAACAUUUGCAACCAAAGAAGCGAAAGUAGGAUACGUUGGGCUUUUAACCGAUUAGAAGUUUAUAUGCGGUCUUCUUGAGGAGCUUGUGGAGGCAUAGAUAGUUGAGGGAGUGGCAAGCGGUGUUAACGGCUUAGGCCCAGAAGACGUCCGACGUCUUGUACUCGUCAAGCAUCGUCUGAGCCAUCUCAAUGAGCGUUCGGUUCUUCCUCUCCACUAUCCCAUUUUGAGGAGGAUCAUAUGGAGCAGAGAACUCGUGCUUGAUUCCCUCUUCUUCAAGGAACUCUUCAACUUGGGUAUUCUUGAAUUCUCCUCCGUUGUCACUCCGUACUCUCUUAAUCUUCACUUCAAACUCAUUUUGCGCCCUCUUAGCAAAUUUCUUGAAGAUUUCUUGAGUUUCGCUUUUGUCAUAGAGAAAGAAAACCCAAGUGAAGCGAGAAAAGUCAUCAACAAUUACGAGACCAUGUUUGUUACCUCCCAAUCUUAGAUAAGCUAUUAGCCCGAAGAAGUCUAUGUGCAAAGUCAUCAACAAUUUCUUGAGUUUCGCUUUUGUCAUGAUGUUCUUUGAAGGGUGAAAUGUCCCGACAUGUUUCCUCGCUUGGCAAGCACAACAAACUCGGUCUUUCUCAAAAGAUACAUUAGGUAUGCCAAGAAUGUGCUCCCCUUUAGAAGAGUUGACAAAUUUCUUAUUCCGGAGUGACCCAGGCAGCGAUGCCAAAGCCAUCCAAGAGUCAAUUUGGCGAUUAAGCAAGAUUCGGGGUUGACUCUAUCAUUGUCAGUCAACAAGAUAGAGAUCUCCUUUCAAUCUACCCUUAAACACCUUCAAUUUGUCAUCUCUUCUUUCCUUUGUUGUCAUCUCCAAAAAUUAUAUUGUCGUGGUCUUCACCGUCUUUGUCGAGUGAAGUAAACAUACUCCUUUCUCCGGUCAUGUGAUUAGUGCAUCCGCUAUCGAUCACCCAAGUCGAGCCACCGGAGGAGUAUGCCUAUAGGAAACAAGUCAAGCAUGCAAUUUUGGUACCCAAACUUGUUCAAGUUUGGGUCCCUUCACAAUAGCAACCAAAUGUUUUGGAAUCCAUAAGUUUUGCCUUUGCUUCUCAUGUUUUGAUCCGUUGAAGAUAGCGACCACAUGUCCACGGUCGUUCUUCAUGAUCUCAUAUGAGCCAUAGAGAAGUCUAAGCUUAACCGGAUCCUCAUGGGUUGAGGUUGGCUUUGACUUAGCUCUCCUGCCCUGCUGGGGUUGGACCGUCCGACCUUGGGAGCCGGACCGUCCACCCGGACCUCUCGGCCAGACAAAGGGGUCUGGUCGGAUCGUCCGGCCCCUGGGAACGGACUGUCCGGCUGAGCUUCUCUGGAGGACAGAGACCUCAGGCAGGACUAUCUAGCCAUGUCCGACCUUAGGGCUGUUUUUCCCUUCUUCUUUGCCCUUGGACUCUCCUUCCUUCACAAAAACUAGGCAUGACUUUCCAUUUAUCAUGACCCUUUUGGAGCUAGUAUUUGUGUUGGGGGAGUACCCAAGACCACGCUUAUCCUUGUUGUGAUGCGUUGCGAUAGUCUUGAAUAGGGCUUCCUUGGAUUGAUAGGUUUGAAUACAUCCAAACUUAAUCAAGGUCUUCAACCUCUCAUUCUCCUCUUCAACUCCUUAAGAGCUUCAUUGUUAGUCUCAACAACACUCAAGUCAAUAGUUUUGCAUUUCUCACAAUCAAGUAUAGUAUUGACUAUUGUAUUGUCCUUAGAGUUGGAGAGGUGGCUCUUAAGGUUGUCAAUUUCAUUCUCAAGAUCAUUUUGCCUCAAGUUCAUGGACACAAUUGUCUCCUCUAGAAGUUCAUUGACAUCCUUAAGAUUGACUAUGGUUUGAUUUGCUAGUUUGAGCUCCUUAGGCAAAUCAACCAUUUCCUCAUCUUUUCCGGCAAGAGUCUUUUUAAGAGAGUCAUUUUUCAUCCUCUCUUGAACAAGAAGAUCUUCUUGCCUCUCUAGCAAACUUUCCUUCUCUUCUAGCACUUUCAUGAGUUUAGCAAUAUGAAUAAGAGCAGGUUUGCUAAAAUCCCUAAGCAUAGCAUCAUCAUCAUCAUGGUCUACAUCAUCAUCAUCACUAGAAUCAUCACUAUGCUUAGGGGUAAGGAAUACCUUGUGCCCUUGCACCAUGAAGCAUAACGUGAUCAUUGUCGUCGUCACUCAAGUUGGGGAAGAGUCGCUUUGAGCUUGAUGAAGAGAUGGCCACGGUGGUGAUGCCUUUGCUUUUGGAGCAACUUGCCUUGGACUCCUCUUCCUUGUCAUCCUCGUCGUCGCUUGAAAACCACUCUUCACCAACGUGUGCUCUUCUGGGCUUCUUCUUGAAGUACUUGAUUUUGCUCUUGCUUUCCUUAUUCUUGGCUAGCUUGAGACAAUCCGCUAUGAAGUGCCCAAAUUCUUUGCAUUCAUAGCAAGCUUUCUUGGAUUGUCGCUUAGAUCGAUCUUCAUCCCUUCUUCCAUGGCUCUUCUUGCGAAGAAACUUAUUGAACUUGUGGACUACGAGAGCGAGUUCUUCAUCCUCACUCUCCGAGUCACUUGAGCUUUCCUCUUGGAUCUUGGAGCUCCUUGCUUUUGCUUUGAAGGCCACCUCAUUGUUCUUGACUUGAGCGGCGGUGGUGGCGUACUUCUUGACUUUCUUAGCUUCUUCUUCUAAGAGCUCAUGUGAUAUGAUUCUUGAUAGCACAUCGCUAGGAGUCAUCCUCUUGAAUCCGCUUGACUCACGGAUUAAGGUCACCAAGGUGGGGUUCCUUGGUGAGAUGGCCCGGAGCAAGCGCUUCACCACCACAUGAUCCGUCAUAUCUUCACUUCCAAGCCCAUAGAUCUUCUUUACAAGGACCAUCAUGCGUUCAUAUAUCUCUUGAGCUGUUUCAUCAUCUUCCAUGAUGAAUCUUCCAAGCCUUCCUUCAAGAAGUUCAAUCUUGGAUUCACGAACUUCCCUAGAUCCUUCAUGAGCCACCCAAAGAGUGUUCCAAAUUUCCUUGGCUUCAUCAAGUUGAUCCACUUUGUUGAACUCCUCCGGACUCAAGGAGUUGAGGAUUACACUUGCCACUUGAGCAUUGCAGUGGAUGAGAAGCUCUUGAGCUGGAGUAAGAUCAUCCUCAUCGUCCGUUAUGUCGCUCACAUCUGUGCACACAAACUUCCAAACACUAGUAUGUAAAGAGAUUAGGUAGAGCCUUAUUUUGUGCUUCCAUGCACCAUAAUGAGUCCCAUCAAAGAGAGGAUCGCAACGGGAAGACAAAGAUACAUUAGAGGAAGAAGAGUUUAGUUUAGAGUAAUCAAACUCAAAAAUUGCUCUCUUCCUAGAGCUCUCAGCUUUCUCCGUCGAACCUUCUCCUCCCUCAAGGUUGAUGUUGGAAGCGUCGCUAGUCUUGUCUCCCAUCUUGGAUCACUUCAAGCGAUUAAGCCUUUUCAGAAGAAUAGAGGGGGUGAAUAGGCUACCUGAAACAUUUUCUUGAACGCAACGGUCAGUAGGGCCGGACCGUCCGGGCUCAGGGGGCGACCGUCCGGCCGGGGCUCUCGGGUUAGGACGAGAGUUCUUGCCGGACCGUCCGGCUAUGAACACCGGACCGUCUGGUCAGUGAAAGGAGGGAUUUUCAAGCCCUCCUUUCUUGGUGUAGUUCGUGAGAACGUGUAGUGUAUGUGUGAGAAAGAUGAAUAUAGAAAAGUCGCACGAUCAACAAGAAACCAAGAAAUGCACAAAAGAGAACACAAGAUAGUUUUACCCGAAGUUCGGAUUCUUCGACCCUACUCUCCGCUGAGGCGCUCCACUGAGCGGGAUCCCUCUUGAUCCUUUUCCUCUCUUUGCUUUCUCCCACAAGGUCGACUCAAGUCACCGGAUUCAACCCUAGGUGCUAGCUAGCCCUUGAUCGACCACCAAGGUCAAGAUCAAGGCGCUCAACCUAGCCCUAGAUUGCAAUCCAAUCCACUUGGCAGCAUUCUAGGAGGAAGCACAAGAAUUCACUAAGUAACUUGCCUUUUUCCUUGCGGAGGUUAGGCGUCAACCUUCACAAACUUGAUCCCGGGCGAUCCACAAGCUUGGAUGCUUGCGGGCAACGCCUAUCCGUCUAGGAGCAUGAACUCCAAGAGUAAUAGGCUUCCAUGUCUCCACACGCAUCCAUCGGUCGCACAGAGCACAUUCUAUAUAGUGUUUUUGCAGUGUGGAAGAUGGUGCAAUUUUUGUUGCAAUCUAGUGCAAGUUUCAUUACAAAGUAGUACUACUUUGUAAUAUUACUGUCCAGUGUUAUCUUUUGGAAUCAUAAGUUGUGCUCUCUGUACAACUGGUACUCUGCAUUGUCUGUUAACCCUGGGCAUAAAUGUUGAAUACAUUCUCAAAUUGCCAAGAAAUGGGAUCAAGUAAAAAAGAAUCACAUACACAGAUUAAUCAACUGCAUUUAUUUAGUGCAAUUUUACUUCAGCGAUGUACCUAACAGUGGUGGAUGCAACAUGUAUCCAUCAAACAAGUUAUGUGUGUGUGUCAAGGCUCUCUUUGGAGGUAAUAAUAAACUCAAAAGGUGCAUAUUGAUUUUUUUUAUAUAUCUAUAGUGUAAUUUCCAAUGAACAGUAGUGCAAUUGGCAGUAUUUACAGUACAAUUUUUAAUACCUCGCUCUAUGGCAGGGUUUGCCUUCUCGGAUGCGGUAAGGGCUGGUUAGCACGACUUACUAUUUUUUUAUAUUUAUUCUAAAUUCUUAAAUAAGACGAAUGGUCAGAUGUUGCAAUUAAAAAAGUCAAACAUAUUACAUUAUGAAACAGAGGUAGUAUAUAAUAAAGAUGUGCCUCAAUUUUGUUGUGGUGUAUCCUAGCCUUCCCUGGAACAGGGAUCUAUUUUUGUUCCGGUCAUCAGCCUCGCCGGGUCGUCCAUUUGUCUGAGCUCCUCCAACGUGAGCCGUUUCUUACCUCCUGCAGCGUAAGGUGGUGACAUGUGAGGAAGGCGUUCAUGGCGGAAGAGCGCGGGGGAGCUGCUAAUUUUUCUUCGAACCAAGAGCUGCCAUCCAUCCGAAUUUCAUGGCCAUUCGACUUCGUAGUUUGGGCUCGGACACGAUGUCACUGUUUGAAAAGACACCUGGGGUUCAUGGACUUAUUCGAUAUGAAAGACAAUCAAUUCUGAGAAUUAGUUAUGGAUGUUUUAGAAGUACAUAAUUUUAUUCUAUUAUAUACUGAUCUAUGAUUUAUAAUGAAGUCUUUACAACAAGAUUUCAUAUGGUUAUAUUUCUUUUAAAAUAUAUUCUUUUAUUUUUUUUGCAAUGAAUCUUUUCGGUGUUGGAUAUAAUGUUAUUUGAAUGGUUCAAUUAGUAUUUUAUGACGUUUCACUAGGUUUUUUUUGGCAUUAUUUCAUGCUCUUAUCUUUGAUUUCUUACAAAUAUACUGAUGUUUCAUUGGUGGAGGUCUUGAGGACUAAAUGGUUCAAUUUAUAAUCUAAUUGUGUUUCAAUAUUUUAAUAUAUUCAAACGUUUUUUUAUAUAGUGGUGAAAUAUUUUUCUAUUAGCGGCGAAACAUCAAAGAUCGAUGUUUUAUCUUUGAAAAACGAACGUUUUAUACUGUCAAGCAAAAAGGCUUCAAAUUGUGAUUUAAAUGUGUUUCAUUAUUUUAAUAGUUGAAAUAUUUUUCAGUGAGCAAUGAAAUAACAAUGCGAUAAAAUGCCGCCUCAUUUUUUGCAAACAAUCAGAUGCCUGUUGUACUUGGAUCCAAAACAUUCCCUUGCAGACUUACUCCUAUUCCUAUAGACCCUGUUGGAUCAUUGCAAGUCUGCUUUGCAAUGCACAAAUAUAGUGCUUAACGAUGAAGUACAUACUUUCUGCAAAAAAAAAAACGAUGAAGUACAUACAGCACACUUCCAAAAAAAAGAGCCAAAAAGAGUGAUGUGGUCAUCGUUUUGCUUUUCGAGUAAAAAAAGGAAACAAUAUAUUUUACAAACCGAAAAUAAUUUGUGAAUAAAAUUUUUAUACACAUGUUCUUGACGAUAUAAAAGCAAAGGCUAAAAAAUAAACUAUAAAGAAAAACCUUAAAAUUAACUUUAAAUUUAAGAUUAAAAAUUUAAAAUUUAGCUUAUAAACAUAAAAAAACAAAAAUACGAGGCCGUGAGUAAGUAUAGUCAUUCAGUCACAAGUGAUCACUGUCACUCCACUUCAAUCAACUCAAGCAAGAGUACUCCCUAGCUACAUGAUAGCCAUCUCAUCAGCUCGAUCAGCCGCUAUACCAAGAUUUGAUCAUGGCGCAGGACCAAGAAGAAGAAGAAAGAGAGUUCAGAGAACAAUGCGGUGAGAAGCUUUCGCUUUUGAGGACCAGCGAAAGACCUUGGGAGGGAGGGCUUGAACUAGGACCUACACCUACAGAUGUCGUAGUACUGAUAUAGAGAAUAUACAGAUGAUGGCGAAGCCCAUGAGGAGGACGAGGAAAUAAACCCCUGGAUGGGUGAUCUCAGGCGGCGACGGCGGCGGCGGUUGUACGAACAGCGGCGGCGGUCGUACGGUCAUCGACGGCUCCUGGCGAUCUGACAAACGCAGAAUGCGAUCCAUGAACAGGUCAGUCACAGGGUAGCAUUGGGAAGGAAGAUUGAGAGGAGGGCAAACACUACAUCUAUUUCAGAAAUUAAUGCAUGAUAAAUAUGUUCAUCUAACGUACCUCCAACAUAACUCGUAACACUAACACGUACCUCCAACAUUACUCGCACCGAUAGCAAAUAGCCCGGCCAAAAUGCCGCCGCCGAUGACCCAUCUAUUCAUCCAUAAUCCGCUGCCGCCGGCAAUCUCUCCAUUGUACCGCGAGACCAAGCCAUCGAAAUCAUGCAGCUGCUCCAAUUUGAGAGCAGCCGCGUCGAUGCUGGAGAGAAAAGUAUAUGCCCCUGCAAAGAAAGAUCAAUGGAGAUGCAUAUUGAGAUCGAAUUCAGACCACAGCUAACCGAAAAUUCACAAAUUAGUAUAAACAUACUAGAAAGCGCAGGAAGGCAGAGAAUAACGACCCCUGCAGCAACAACUCCAAGAACCAAAAUGUGGCGCCGAGCAAUGGCUAGGGGCUGGACCGUGCUGGACCGUGCGGCGGGCGAGGUCUGGGUGAAGAUCUCCCUCAAGCCGGAGAGGUGUAGCUUGCCGGAGCACGGAGGGCUAGCUGAGGAGAGGAGAGGCCCCAAGUCGCCGGUGCGGGGGAUCUGAGGUCGCAAGUAUGGCAGAGUACCUGAAAGAAACCCUCCCGACGUGCGGCCUUCUGACGGGGGACGGAGGAGAUCGUCGUUGUGCAUAGGUUGAUGACGUGACUCAAGGGGAUUAGGCUGCAGAAUGCAGACGAAUGAAAACCAUUAGAGGAUGCAGAACAUAGGUGCCAAGAACUGACAGCUGAAAGAGUUGCACAUUCCUGACAGUGAGAAACUCUUAAAACUUGUAAGAACACCCAAACAUGGUAUAAUUUCAUGGAAAUUCUCAGUUAACUUCUAACAGAUAGUGCCAACCUUAUCUAUUGAGAUUAGAACCAAUGCAGUGAUCAAAGUAACAAGAGUUUUAGUGCAAAAGACAACUUGAGCUAACAAAUUUCACGCGAAAAUUGAGAGAAAAAUCAGUCCACAUUCCAUAUUUGACACAGUUCUCAUUGUGUGGUAUCCAAUUCCCAGAUCCUUACAUCUUUUGCAAUAAGCAAUAUCCACACAGACAUUGAAAACUUAGUGUGUGCAGAAACAUAGACAUGAUACAAGAUUUGAAUGGAUAUUCACCAUAAGAUUUACAGUAGAGUAGAUUGAUCUUAGUAUGGAAGUGUGGGAUGUGUAUAUUGGAAUUUUUUUCUUUUUUAAUGGUCACUGGGGGAGGGGGGGGGUGGAGAGUUUCCCCACCCUGAAUUGUAUUAGAAUAAAAAGAUCGCCGCGAUUACCACCAGAGACACAAGUGGAAUGGAAAAGAAGGCAGUAGAGAAAAACAGAAGGGACAAAGAAGAAGAAAUACAUUGGAUAAUUUAAUCGACUACUUGAAGCAAGUAGUUGUUCACUUGUGGUUCUGACCAACUCGAACUAUAAUAGAGCAUCCGGAAAAUGCCAACUUAGUAAUAUUCCAUGUUAUAUGGUUUUGUAAAAGGUUACUAAUGAAGAAAAUUUUGCUAGGUGUGGAGAGUGGAGAUUCAUGUGACCGGCAGGUAGACAUUUGUUGACAUACAUGUAAGGAAAGGUGGUAUAGAGGAAUAAAAACGGUAUGGUUUAACUGUCAUGCCAGUCAUGCACACCUGUAUGACAAUCAAGUGAAUGGUAUUCAUAACAGAAUCACACGAAAACUGGGUCUAGUUUUUUUUGUCACCGCCAUGAAUGUUUAUUGAGUGAUAUAUCACAUAUUAAUCUAUUUUGACACAUUCUUUCCAUGUUUUUGUAACUAUUUAGAUGGCAUGAAAGAGACGGGGGAUAUCCCCUCGAGAGUUUAAAAUCCAUUCCAUUAAUAGUAUUAGUCAGAAGAAAUGGUUUUCAGGCCCAAGAACCAAAUCCAAAUUCAAAUAGUUUUUCUGUCACCAUUAUGCAAAAUUCUCUUAGUAUAUGUAUUUCUGUGAGUAUUAGUCCAAACAAGUGGUUUUCAUGCCUAAUAAUCCAAAUCUAAAACUGAACCUCCAUAGUGAUUCUCCAUGUUUCUCCCAUAUUGCACAAUGACCAAGUAGCUAUAUGUCCUUAGGCUAGAGCUCAAAGUGACAGAACAGAAGUUAUACGACUUGCCCAUAACUAAAAAAGGGAAAAGUUAAAUGUAAUGUACCAUUGCAUGGGCCAUAUCCAGAUGAGCAUAGGGUGUCGCAUAAUCUGUCGGAGGCGUUGCUACCAUUGUCUGGCUACCUGUACUAGUAGCCGAGGUUUCUUGCUGGUCCUCAGGUUCAACUUGCCUCUGCUGUUUUUGUCGCCCAUCAGCUCCAUGGUUGUCUGCAAGGGAAAGCAAACAUGUACCAAGUGAUGUUACAUCAAUAUUUCAGCAAUUCCCUUUUACAUGUCUGAUUGAUCAAAAUAUUGCAGAGUGUAUGUCAACGCUUACUGGAUGAACACCUAAUAUUUCCGUAAUCUGAUCAGCUAAAAAGUUGUGGCAUGGCAGGCUGCGGUUGAUGUUUGUCAAUACUAAUGGCAGGUGCAUCCCAGCGUGGGUACAAAAUUACCCUCUAUACCUGGUAUUUCCUAAUACUAAUUCAUGGCACAAAUGUCACUGUUUGCUUGGGCUAAUCCAUAACCGUAAUGCGUGCACAAUACACACAUAAUGGAGUCUACAGUGCAUCUAUCAUUAUUAUGAUUAUAUUCAUAACAGAAAACUACCCCACCAUUUAAACAUCAGUAAUAUAUAGGGAAACAUUAGAUGGAACAGGCAUACCUGAAACAUCAUGGAAUAGAGAAGACAUGGCUUGUUCUUUUUGCAGAGUGAAGCAGAAUCAGGAUUGUAGUUAGUCAGAGGAAACAAAUGUCAACCACCCAGCUUCCGAUGUGCUUCAAGCACACCACACUUCCUGCAAAUCAACAAAAUUGAAGCUUUCCGUGAUCGCCUAAGCACAACAAAAUCAGAAUUUACAACAAAGAGGAGUAGUUUUCAAGAAAGGUAGGGGACUAAUACACAUGUAAAUCUAGGUCUGGUACAUAACACCUCAAGAAGAGAAAAACGAAAAUAUAUAAGGCGACAAAAUCUACAGACUGAAUUAAUGUCUAUUUGUUGAUGGAACCAUCAAGUAGCAGGCCAAGAUUCUCUAACUGGUGUGAAAAUUGUCAAAACGAAGACCAGAUACAUAUUUAUCAAGAAAAGAUUUAUCAAGAAAGGAUUAUCCGAUUAUGGAGUGGUAUCUUUAACCUCCAUGCCUCCCUCACGCCUCAGUAGCCACACAACCAACUACCUCCGCGAGAGCAUCACGCACGAACAGCACGGAACCCGCCACCGGAUUCUACCCGGCGGCGACGACCCCCGCGCACGAACUUCAGCGGCCGGAAUCAAGAAGCGGGGGGAAAUAAACAAGCACGCGCCCGCAACAGGAAGAGGAAAGCCUCCCUCCCUCCCUCCGGCUGAUUGCGCAAACCAUGCAGAAUAGAAGAGAAGAGCGUCGGCGAGGGAGAAGCUGGGAGAGCGCGGGCAUAUGGACUCACUGGGGACAAUCCAGAAGGGCGGAUGCUCGGGAGGAAGAGAGGGGACGGCGACAGCAACGGCGACGGCGACGAGGGAGAGGCGAGGCGAGGCGAGGCGAGGAGGAAAUGACGCGAGGAAGGAAAUUUCCUUCGGGAGAAGGUGAAACCCGAGGAGCGCGUGAUCUGGGCCGUCGGUUCGAUGGACCGGGAGGACGGACGGCCGGGAUGCGGCCCACGCGCCGCGCGUGGCUGCCGAGGUGGUUCAAAAAGGCUAAUUAGCGAGCGCUCGCGCGGAUGGGUCCUGCGCGAACAGGCUCAAAACAGGUAUUUUUUUUACUUUAUGUAUAUUUUUUUAUUUUAUGUGUAUAAAGUUUAUACGUAUAAAUUUAUACAUAUAAAUACAAAUAUUAUAUAUACACAAGAUAUUAUAGAUAUAAAUUUUUAUAUGUAUUAAGUUUAUAUCUAUAAUAUCUUGUGUAUAUAUAAUAUUUGUAUUUAUUAGAUUUUUAAUAUUGAAAAAGCUUGUAUGUAUAAAGAUAUUAAGUUUCUAUAUCUAUACUAAUAUAAAAGUAGGCGUUGUAAUUUUUUUAUAUCCACACCAACAAAUAUACACACGAUUUACUCGGUCCAUUUUCCACCACUGUUAGAUGUACGUAUCCAAUGAUCCAGAACGAUCUGAAACAAUUCUCUCUUGCAAACCUAGAUAGGACACAUCCCCUAACUUCUCCACUAAAAUCGCCCCUGACUUUCCAAAAUCGCCCCUGACUCCUUCACCAAAAUCGCCCCUGACUUUCCAAAAUCACAACGUUCUCCCGAACGCCAGCAAGCCGCCACCGCGCCCGCGCCCGCUCUCCCGGUCGAACGCCACCGCGCCCGCUCUCCCGGUCGGCCCCGGUACCGCCGCCUGCCUCCCAUCGAUCGCCGACUGCCCCCAACCUCCGACCGGUCAAAGCCCACCUUUUUUUCAUAAAGCCAUUCACGUGUAUUAAAAUACAAUAAGCUUUGUACUUAAUUGUUCAAAGAUAUGGAUUUUUCUUGUGCUAUUUUGUUAUAUUUCUAUUUGUCCAGAUGCAUCUUUGGUGCACUUUCAGUAUGGCUAUGUUUUUUUAUACUAAUACAAGUUAUACUUGAUAUACUUUUUUCUACUACAUUUUGGUAUUAAUUAAGGAGCAUUAUUUAUAAAAAUAUGAAAAAACUAAUAUUUUUUAAUCCAUGCUAACCGUAAGUUUUCAACAACUUGAUUAAUACCGACAAAUGAAAAGCUGUAGGCUCUCUGUUUCUUCUUCUCACAGAGAUCAAUUGAUUUUUUUUCUUGGCGGUACAACAACAAAAUAAAAAAUUGGUCGAUGCAGAAGAGCUAACGAAACAGUUACGACCAAAGGUGGGUAGACAAAGAAAGAGUUUGUUUAGUACCUUGGUAUAAUUAUAAAAUUAUAAUUGUUUUAUACUGCAUUAGUAACGUAUGUAUAUAUUUAUUUUAUGUAAUACUACAAUAUAUAUACAAUAUAUAUAGCAAGUUCGUAUACCUGAAAUGUUUAAAGAUAAAUACUAUGAAACGUAUUGCACGUGCGCGAGUACUGCUAUAUGCCUAAAGUGGUUGCCCCUUCUCUCUCCCCGUCCGCCUCACGUCCCUGCUACGUCAUCCUCCUCUUGACUGACGUCCCUACGUGACACUGCAGUCAAUACUUGUAUAUUUGUCACGAUAUAUCUUUAUGUUUUAGUUUUGAUAUAAUAUUUGACUCUUCAUCUUAUUUAAUUUUUUUAUAAUUAAUAUUUUUAUUGUUAUUAGAUGAUAAAAGAUAAAUAUUAUUUUACGCAUGACUAUUUUUUUUAGUUUUUCUUAUAUAUUUUUUAAGUAAGACGGAUGGUCAAACACUGGACACUCAAACCAAAAAAUAAAAAACAUGGAUUGGGGUAGUAUUACUUUACAAGACAUUUGAUAGAGUUGUUUCUACUUCAUCUACUUUGGUAAUUCCUAUCGGCAAACAAACAUCACAUUCACAGUUUUCGUGUUAGUUUUGUCUUGUCAGCCAAAUAUUUUUAAUAAAUGAUUUUAUUACUAAACCUCGAAAAUAAUAUUUUCACCAUAUGAAACUUUUGACCACGCCAUUAACACUGGCGUAGCAAGACAACAAUACCACACAAGCUGGUUGGUACGGCUGACGUGACAAUAUUACCUUGCCACGUUAAUAUUGGUAGUGUGACCAAAAAGUUAAUACGGUGAAAAUAUUUUUCCUCGAAGCUCAAUAAUGAAAUUAUUUAUUAAGAAUGUUUGAAAAAUAAAAAAAAUCGGCUACGCAACGCUCGGUCUCUUUUCAUGCAUUGAAUUACAAGUAAAAGGAAUUAAGUUUGCCCUACUGUAAGAGGCUGAAAGGGGAUGAAAUGGCCGACAAUGUUGUGCAAGGUUUCAUCGAUACAUUUAGCACAACAUAUCCAUUGAAAAAUCCUUUUGAAGAUGCGCAAGCUAUAAGCCAGAUAAACACACAUGAACUAAGCACGAAGGUGACGUAUAUAAAUGCUUGGAACCGGUAGAGAAAAGAAGGCAAAGCAAAAGGCAACACUUAGGUAUCAAGUCAUAUUUUUAGAUUGGAACCAGAAAUGUCGACAAUAUGAUUUUCAAAAGUAUUUGCAUUCACCUAGGGGGUGUUGUAAGGUACUCCAACUGGUAUGGAUUGUCCAAAAUGGUUAGAUCUAUUCCACUCGCCAUGCAGAUUCACCGGUAUAUUUCCAUUAUAAUUCAUGUAUAUCAUUUGCAGCCCCAACAAAAGGAAAUGUAAUUCAUGUAUAUCAUUUGCAACCCUAACAAAAAGAAAGGUAACAAUGAUUACCUAGGAAGCCUAAGAAGUAUUACUAUCACAUUAUGAAGUGUAAUAGUGUAGCAAGCACCUUUGAGACAACAUAAGAAAGUGCAAGCAAUACAUGGUGCAAGAAGAUAGGCCCAUACAAGAAUCACAUUUCUUGAUAUGGCAAUCAGCUUGAAAAUUAUGUCGGAUCCUGACAGGCAAUACGACGUAGAAGCCUUGGAAAAAAUGUUUCAAUAAUAUUGCUGGGUACAAUGUACGUAAGAUUUAAAUAUAGCAAUAUAUUUAAAUAUUUUCAACGGUUGCCUCCAAACUCUAUACGAGGGUAAAAUGAUUACUGUCGAUAGCUAGACGAGUGAAAGUAUUAACAAAUUUGUGUCACUCCCUCUUAGCGUUUGAGAUGGUAGUUCUUUAUUUGUUCUCAUUCUGGUAUGAAUUGGCUGGUCCUCUAUAAAACUUUGAAACUUGAACUCUAUCUUGAGUUGUUAGUUUGGGUUUUAGCUGAUUGGGACAAGAGAAUCUUAGAGUGGUUAGUUUGGGUUAAUUAUGAACCUUCGACUAGACAUUGUUUAAUUAUCUGGCCCCAGCGCAAUAAAUCAGUUUAUUGGGGCCCACCAUACUAAAAACCUGGUCAACGCCAUGGCCCAUCAGGAGAAGAAUUGAAUAUAGUCAACCCCUCGGCCCAUUAACGGGCUAUCAAGCCAAAAUUCAAUAAUCGUCAGGUCCAGUAUCUUUCGAUGCGAAUUCAUUUUAACCACUCAAUUCAAUACUAUACUUGUCUAUAUAUAGAGUAUUUUAUUAAAUUAAACCUAGGAAUUAAUGACAAUGAACAAAGAAGCUAACAGUAUGUUGCCUAUAUAUACGUCAACUAAUUAACAAUUCAUAAGACGAAAUUAAUUAAACACAGCAGCAGAGCAGCUAGUGAACUUUCUUUAGUUGCCGGCGCCGCCGUCCGCCGGCUUGCUGCCGCCUUCCUCCACCCUGCCGGCGGCGGCCUCGGCGGCGAGCGCCUUGGCCGUGUCGUAGGAGGCGAGCAGCGCCGCCGUCCAUAUCCCGAACCGCAUGAACGACAUUCGGCUAAUAGGUUUUUUUAAGCUCUUUACAGGGUAGGUUUAAGUUUAAUAUCUUUGCCGAAUAGGUUUAACCCCUCUCGUAACAUUCGAGAAGGGGAGAGUAGCAAAUAUGUUGCCAGUUGAAUUUUCCACCGGCCGUUUUCUAAUCGACAUUCCAACUCAAUAUGCUACAUAUUGAGAGUCACGUACAAAAAAAAAAGAUAAUACUAAAUCCAUAUCAACAAACUUGUCAGGAUAUUAUGAUGAAGAAACAAACUAUCAAAUUUGUAAAGCACCAAAAAGACCUUCACAACUAAAGUGAUAUUUACUAACUCUACUAAUUAAUGGCCUAAAGGCAAUGCAUGUGAGAGAUAUCACGUUCCAAAAAAGGCCUUAAUUAAUUCAUUAAUCACCUUUAUCAUGAAUCUAGACGUAUCUAACUGUAUCAUAUUAGAUCCUAAUCCAAGGCUUAAUUAUCUCAAAAUGGUGGUGUCAUGCAUACAUCAUGAAUCAUGCAUGUGAGAGAUCAAUGCAGGUUGGACUGGGAGUACCGGCGACGGGGAUCUCGAUGGCGAACUCGGUGUAGCAGAAGACGGCGUAGAAGAGCACGACGGCGGGGCCGGCGGCCUCCUUGGCCUCCUUACCCGUGAGCACGAAGAUGCCGGCGCCGACGCCGAACCAGAUGAGGUCCCACCACGUCAGCGUCCGCCUCAUUUUGGCGCCGCUCCAGCCGCGCACCUCGUGGAGCUCCACGGCGUCGGCCGACCUCGCCGUCACCCGGUCCCGCAGCCGCGGCCCCGUCUCCAUCAGCGCCCGCCCGUACGCGCCCCAGCUCGCGAACGACUCCUCCGGGAAGAACGCGCCGCCGCCGCAGCACCCUCGCCGCCGCACUUCGCCGUCCGCCGCCAUGGUCGCGGAGGGGGGUGGAAUCGACGCCGGCCGCCGGGGAAGGAAGGUAGCUAGGUUUUACCCGGCGAAGGGGGCUACGUGUGCCGUAUAUAUAGCAGGGUAGGAGUCGCCAAGCGGGGAUCUCAGCCGUACGAUUGACAUCCGACGGUUGGGAUCUGCACCUGCCUGAUUCUGAACUGAUUUGUUUCCAUUUUUGAUCCGCAUACAUUCCCUGGGCCCACCAUAGCAGAUUCUGAACUGAUUUGUUUCUUUUUUUUUAUCUGAUUUGUUAUUUUUUUGAUCUUUUUGAACCGAUUUGUUUCCAUUAUUUGUUUGUUAUAUGCAUUUCGAGGGAAAUACAGGUAGGAGUAUAGAUAAUUAAAUAUUUCAGUUGUUGCUACAAAGGCGUGCAUGUGGACAAGCCACACGGCCCUGCUCUAUUUGAAAAAAAAAAAGGGGAUUUUUUGAAGUGAAGAUAUAGCUAAUAGCUCCAUGGCUUAUAAACAUAAGCAACUUUUUAUAUUUUAAAACAUAAUUUUGAGGUUGGUUUUAGAGAUUUUUAAUCGUAGUUCAUUUCCAGCAUUUACUUUCUAAGGACAUCUAUACCUCCAAAUUAUAUUUUUAUCGUUAAUAAGCCGUUAUGGGCCUGUAAUAAGUAUAAGCGGAACAGGUAUAUAUUUGAAAAGCUGAAUUUUGCUCAUAUAAUAUACGAGUAUGUCACUGGAACGUUUCAGUGAUACAGGAAUCGGCCGGAGAAACCAAGCCAUCACACGGACGAUUACAUCAGUUACAUGUCUCGCUACACUAUACAAGCAAUUGGUAAUGUGCAGCUUACUUUGUUCCUUUUCUUUUCGACUAUCUUACAUCUCCACAAAACAAAAGCACAAAGGGCAGGUUUUGAUUGGAGCCAAUUUUAUACCCUAUCAAAUUUGCUAGAGCCAAAACAAAAAUAUUGAUAAAGGCAAAAACUACCUAAAAAUUUGCUGUAAUGUUGAAUUUCAUAUCAAUGUCUAGCAAUUACUCAUACUUACAUCUUUCUCUUGUUGAAGAAAAAAGAAGAGGAAUCUAGCUACCGAAUAAGCAUUGACCUAACUAUCAUCCACAGAGCUUUUGAAGGAAAAAAGAUAUACUUAUAAGCACGUAAUAAUGAAAUAUGAAGGCCUGACAAAACUUUUGAAGGAAAAAAAAGAUAGAAAUAUAAGCACGUAAUAAUGAAAUAUGACGGCCUGCCGGAUUCGAACCGGCCACCAAAAAGGCUAUCCUUUGUAUGCUCUUCCGACCGAGCACAAGGCCGUUCAAACUUUUAGUUCUCUUUUCUAAUUUAUAACAAGCUUUUAAACAUGGAGAGCUUUUAAACAUGGAGAAUUCCUAGUUGAAAAGGAGUUGGUCUAUCUUACAGCAUUGAAAAUUAUUUUGCCAGGGCAAUUAAACACCUUAACUGUUGUUUGACUCACACUGCCAUUGAUCGAACUACUGAAAAAAGCCAAGUGACAUUUCUCUUCAUACAAAACAUAUUUUGAAUUUAAAUAGCCCACUCCAAAAACUACUAGUAGUACGCUAAAGUUUAUUUGGGCUCAGUGUUCAUUCUUAUGUCAACAGUUGUUGGGCCAGGAGGACAGGGUCGUAACUGUGUCAAUAAUACGUUAAAAUGUCCCCCAAGUUGCUUUGUGAUUGAUUACUCUGGCGGUCAUGAAGCUUCCGGAUGAAAUCCUUUUCACUCCUCUCUCAACGGCUAAAGUUUUCCACAGUGAAAAAAACUCUGUAAUUGUAAGAUCUAGAACGAACAUCAACUAAUUUUGGGGGCCAGCAUUGUUGUUCGCGGCCUCUAGUUAGCAUUACGAAGCUGAUCACGGACGCCGCAUCAUGGGCUAACGAUAUAUAUGAACUGGAAAAAUAUAAUUUCUAACUAAUUAGCAUAUCUAUCUGCCGGUUGACAUAAUGGCAAAAUGCAGGACAAAUGGCUUUGGUUGUUAGGUUGCUUUUGCACCGUUAUUAACUUGUAAUAAGAUAGAUGGAUUGAUUGUUAGUUUGCUUUUGCACCAUAGUUAACUUGUAGUCAUGGACGCCUGCACAAAGUACAUAUUAAGCUGGUAAAAUAAAUUUAAAUGCUUACAGUUGUGAUAUCAGAAAUUAAUUCAUGCACGUCUGUACCCGGGCAUGAUGACCUGCCAAUGGUAAUUCUGUGGCUGUUAAUGCAUGAGCAGUCCAAAUCAGCAGACAUGGCCCGUAAUUAAACUGUUAAUAAGCAAGAGAUGGAACACAUACCACAUGAUUCGGUUGUUUGGUGGACGAAAUACAUAGGCAUACACCACGGAUGAGAGUUAAUAUGUAUCCAUAUACCUGCAACAACAGUAGGUCCAUGAACAUUGGCUCACACAAAAAGGACAUUUUGCACAACAGUGCUGUAAAAACAGUUCGAUUGAGUGAUUUAGCUUAAAAAAUAUGGAUGAAAUGGUUCCCACAAGAAUCAACUAGUUGCAAGUACUACAUUCCCUGCUGAAACCCAACACAUUUUGUACUGUAUGAAUAAAGCUAAAACAAACAGCAGCCCAAAUUGCACUCAUGUUUUGAGUCUUGAUGUUGACACAGGCAGAAGAGGCCCAUAAGGUAGAUCAGGAAAUUUCUUAUGUGGAAACGAGAAGACUAAUCCGGUCGCUAUGUAUUCACACAAUGGCAAGGCAUCAGAGUGACUUGCUUCAGUGCAAACAUCAUACAUCUCAAAAGGUAAAGACACAUGUCAUUAUUAUUUUAUUGGGUUUAUCUUAACUUUACAGCUAAUGAGUUGCUUGAAAUUAAAAAAAAAAAACUGAAUAACCAGGGGUUCAUUCCAAUGUACCCCCAAGUAAGAAAUCGCCAGGUAAAUUCUAUAUCCUCAAUCCAGUCGAUGUAAUAAUUUUGUUGGCCUGUACAACAAGGGGCAGUAUUAACCUUGUCAGCCUGUAAACAUGAACCUCGUUCAGCAGAAACACUAAGGCAACCAAUGGUCCAUCAACCCACACUUAAAGCGCUUGUACCUUCCUCUGUAUGACCUGAAUUAGUCCAUCUAGCCUAAAUAAAUAACGUGUUUUGAUUCUUCUGCACUAGAAGGUUCUGCAGCUUGUAAUCUUGCAGUACAGUUUGUUCCACGACCCCAUACCUUGAUAUAUAAUCACAAUCCUGAGAAAUGGACAAAAUAAAGAAUAAAAACCCCAAUCUCCAAUAAGUCAUUUUAAAGACAACAAACUAUAUAGUUUUAGAAUUUAAACAGCAUCAAAGGAUGACCAGAAGAUCAGAUAUAAUAGCAAACAAUACAUUACACUCGUAGUCCUCAAAUGUAGAUGGAACUGGAAGUACCAAAAUACAGUUUGUGCGGCUAUAUCCACUACCCAUGAUUACGAUAAUAAGUUUAACCGUGAGUGCAACAGCUCGGUUCUGAAAUACCAUCAUAUAUUAAACCCUGGAAUAACACUUCUCCAUGCCUGAGUGAUCAAAUUCACUAUAUUGGAUAUUAAUUUUUAGAGUAAAUUUCACAAGACCACACAUAUUAUGGUCUCACAAAACCACGGGGGUUUUAGCAUAUGCCACAACCCCUGGUAUUAUGGUACAAGAGAUUCACAAAACCACACUACUAACCAACUAGCUUGGUAAUAUAGCAAAAUAAAAUUAUAAUAUUAUGUGGUUAUAACUUGUAUAUGAGGUGUCAAAGAACUUAUAUAAAUCUGAUAAAUUUGGCAUGUAAUUCUAUAACUCAUAUUUGGUAAAAAGUAUGGGUUUAUUAAACUAUAUGAGCAUAAUACAUGCAGUUUUGUGAAAUUUACUCUAAUCUUUAUAAUCAGCUUUCUUCAGUUAAAUGAAUUUGGAUAAAUUGGGAUGGAAAUGCAAUAAACAAUGACCAUCAGUAUUUUUCUCUUUUGGUGCAUAACUAUUAGCAUAUGAACUGCAGAUUGCACAUGUACCUGUCAGUAAAUCCCAGAACAACAUAUUUCGGCAGCAAACUUCUGCCCAGUAACAUCUUCAAGCAGGUAUCACACAUACAUACCACGCUAGCACCCAAUUGCAGUUCCCUCCUGCAAAAGAGAACAGGUGAUCAGAAUACACUGUAGGAGUUAAACAAAUUUUGGCCCAUCUAAAUUCCAGCUCCAUGGGAAAAUUGACAUAUGUUGUUGUUGGCAAAAUUUUUGCCUACUGGAAAACUGAAACAGUAGAUUUAACUGAUCAAACUCUUACAAUUUCCAACACAAGUUUUAAGCUCAGAUCAAGAGAGAUGGACAAGCAUAUGACAAUGAAUGGUUUGUAUGCUAAUCUAUGACUAUGAACUUUACAUUGCAAAUAAUCAACUGUAACAAUUACCUGAAUGAUAUACUUCCUAAUUCAUUGAUCCACGGCACCUAAACAACCAGAAAAUAGCUAGCAAGAAGAGGUGAAUAAUAAAUACUAUAUUAAUAAUAGCACAAAAGAAUUGCAUCCGAUGAACAAGAAAAUGUGAUAUAUGCAACUUAAAAGAUUGAAAAUACUGUGUUAUUAUGGUAACAAUUUAGGCUAUGCCAGACCAUAAUUUACAAGAUAAUAAAUGGCAAACAAAAAACUUGCAAACUUGGCAACAGCAUUUACAAACUCAUCCCAGACAUAUAUAACAGUAUGCUGUUAGCAAAAUCUACGAUAAAAAAAUAGUCAGCUAAUUUAACAAAUACGGAUUUCAUAUGUAUGUAUACCAUAGAAACAUUUUAUUAGAUUGCAUGGAACAGACGUCACUGAAACGAAAACAUCUCCUGUUACUAGCUCUAGGAGAGUUACCUCUGGGAACCGCAGUGGCAUGGGAUCUUCUUUUCCUCCAGUGGAAAUUUAUAAUUAUAAGUCAAUUCCUCGCCAGCAUAUAUACGCCUCUUUGCAUAAAUGAAAAUCUUCUUCUGGCCCUCGACAGUAAUUACUUUUGUAUAGAAAUUUGGCUGGUGUGGAAAAAACAAGACACUAUUUAACAUGGGGUAAAAAAACAGUUAACAGUUUCAUGUUAAACAGCUUACAUCGCAAGAAUGGUUGAUGAAUCUUGCUAGCCCACCACGCUUAGUAGCAUCAACCUUCAUAAAUUAAGAAUGUAGGCACAAUUAAUACAGAAGAGCACAUGGUGCAUUCAUAAAAUAUGAUUGAUAUAAACCAUAGUAUCUAGCACAGGUUGAGGUUACAAAGCUGCACAACUGUCCUGGCCAUACAUCAAAACAAACAAAACCAACUAAAAAAUUACAUUAUGCAUCAAAUUUAGAAUAACAAUAUCUAACUCUAUCGUUGUCUAGUAAGCAAAUAUAAAAAUAAAGUAACAAAGCAGCAUCGAAUAUUAGAUGGAUGUAACUGAAGAAAAUUGACUAAACCUACCACAUAUUCAUCGUCCAAACGGAAAAGGUAACUGCUUCCAAUUCCACUUUUCUCAUAUUGAGCCUCACGUAUGUCUGAAACCUGUAGGAUACAGUGAUCUAUAACAUGUUGCUCAAAAGCAGGUACAUCAAUAAAGGCAUAGUUGAGUCAUUAAGUCAUAAUACCUGUCGGCGAAUCAGCUGACCCACAUAUUCAAUUACAAAAUCUUCUGCGUCAAUAGAUUCAAGAGCCACCAGCCCCCCUUCAUGGAUCUUACUCGUCUGAAAACGCAAUCGCUUCUUCCUUGACUGUAUACCGAGAAAGGAACACAAAAUGGUCAUUCAAAUAUCAAAGAAUAGAAACAUUGGCACUUGACAAAAUAUACUUCUGUACCUUUGAUUGGGUAAUUUUUAGUAGGUCAGCGCCUUCAGCAGCCGCUAACAGGUUCCGUAGCUUAACUCGGUUUGUUCUUGCAGAUGCACCUUUAACUUGUGAACUUUUCAACACAUUGCUUUCUGGAGCUGACAGAAUACUCCUCACACGGUAGCCUCUCACUUGAGCUCUUUCUGAUGGAGUGGCAUUGCGUGCCCAAUCACGCCAUUCCCAUCCACUCACAGAAGCUCUUGCACAACCACAUGAUUCUGGAAAUAAAACCAAUGGUUUUUUCUUCAAGUUGCACUCAUUGGACAAGUUCUUCUGCUUUCUUUUCUUCGUGGGCGCUGUAGAUGUAUUUCUAUUCUCCAUAGGUGCUUCACGAGCAUAUGGUUUUGGACAUAAUACUAACGGUUUUGCCUUCAUGUUGGACUCACUGAGCAAGUUUUUCUUUCUUUUCUUUACAGGCAUUGUAGAUGUAGUUCUAUUCUCAAUAGGUGCCUCACAACCAUGUGAUUCUGGAGAUAAAAUCAAUGCUUUUGCCUUCAGAUUGGAUUCAAUGGGCAAGUUUUUUUGCUUUCUUUUCUUUCCAGGCAUUGUUGCUGUAGUUCUAUUCUCAGCAGGCACUUUGUUAUUAACAAAAGGCUUACUAGUUGGAUGGGAAGACCUGCUCCCGGGCAAUGAAAGAUGAAUGCAAUAACUCUGUGAAAAUGUAUAUUAAGAUGGAGACAGGGGAAUGAGGAUUAAAUGACUCACUCUUUGGAACCUUGUUAGAAAGGAGUUUCAAGUCCUGCUGGAUACUCAAAUUAAUAUCAUUGUUAUGUAAAGGUUUGGCACGCUUUUUAGAGGGCUUAUCCACAACAGAAACUCUCUGUGAAAUCCCUGCCUUGCUUGAUCCAUGGAUAUUUUUCAUAUUACCCUUGCGUUCAACGAGAUCACAUAGAGGUCUGGAGAGUUGAUCAUCCAUUGGUUUUUCAGAUGAUGCUGCUUCACAGUUUUUCCUGAAUUUCCUCUUCCUGUAGUAAGUAUAAUGUUUGGGUCUCGAUGUUUCAUCCAUGGUUUUACUCACAGUAUUUUUCCUGGUGUACCAUGAAUCAAGACAAUUGUUAAGAGCAACUGAGAAGAGCGAUGCCCAAUCUUUCAUUACACUGUCAUGCAGUAAUUGCCUGAAGAGAGCCCAAUUAGUAUAUCUAUAAAUUUCCGGCACUGAGCCUACUGAUUUUGAGGGCUGGUAUUUGUUUUUGUCCAUAAUAACAAGUGAAGCUAAGCCAGUCUCUGUUCCAGGAGGCACCUCAUCAAAACUCUCAUCCAAUACAGCUUCAUCAUGUACAUCCAGCUUUUCAAAUAUACUUGCAUAAGAUGCAGAGCACAAUUGAUUUCCCACUGCAUCCAAAUUAUGAAAUUAGAAUAAUUUAAUGCUGCUCAGGUAAGACAAUGCAACAGAGGAUGUUAUUUAUUUACCAUAAGAAAUGAUCAUUUCAUCUCCUGUCACUUCAGGGACAGCAGAUGUUCCAGAUGCCGUAGUAUCAGCAGGGCAGGGUAGUGUAUCUACAGCCAUUUCAGCCGUAUCCAACAUUUCAUCUCGAGCCAUUUGAGCAGGACUAUCUUGAGCCAUUUCAGCAGGAAAGGGUGUUUCAUGCCCAGAUAUUCCAGGACUGGAUGGUUCUGGUGCAUGAACAGGGGUGCAAAUUAUUUCCUGCAACACAACAUUUAGAUGUAAAAAUCAUGCAAAUUCUGAAAUAUCAACAGCUAUCAAGAAAAAUAGUUAUUGCUGUCAUCUCACUUGAUUAAUGUCAUCUUCAAGUCCAAAGCACAAAUAGUUUGUUAUCUCCUCUGCAAUGACCUCCCUGAAAUGUUGGAACAAAGUUUCCUUUGCCGCCACAUAUAGUUCAUUUGCCAGCAUUACCUGGACUCGUCUCAACGGGCCAGAAAACAAUGUGGAACUUGAUUCAGACUUCCCACUUGUUUUGUCAGUACCAUGUUCAACACCAAACAAGAACACCGAAUGGGAAUGCUCAGUAGACUCCCGGUUUGGUCCAAAUCCUGGUGGGAAAUCCAUGUCGCCAUCAGGAGCAUCUGAAUCACAAAUUGCCUGCAAAUCAUGAACUGUCAUUAAAUCAUAAACGAGAGAAGGAUUUACACCUUACUACCUCCGUCUGGAGGUACUAAAUGUUAAUCCCAUAUUUCAAAGAAAGAAUGUGUUUAGUCCUACUGGAGGAACCUUUGGUGGCAUUUCAUCUGUGGCUUGCAUCUUUUGGUUAUUAGAGGUUCCAAGAACAACUGUAGAGAGAAGGUUUGACUCAUUUUUCCUUUUUAGCCAUGCAUCACAGUAGUCCAUGACAGGAUCGUACAGUACUUCAUCCCAGAUACUCUUCAUUGAUUCAUUAUAAAUUGCUGUCCAUACUGCCGAUAAUAUAUCAGCAAAUUCAUAUUGUAAUGCAGUUGAUUGAGCAGCCACAGAAGGAUCUCCUAGUACUUUAUUAAAUGAGUUUAGUUUUUUUGGAUGAGUAGAUGUUCCAUCACCCUUGCCCAUCAGUACCAAAGCAUUCUUGUUGCUCACAUUGUCAGUCUGGAAAAAUAAAACCAUGUUGGACAGGAUUAUAAUCUGAAAAUGGAUAGGUAAUACAAAAAAGUUCAUGUCCCAUAAAACAUGGCAAAUAGAACACACCUUAGCAGCUUGGCUCUUAAGUUUUGCAGCCAUUUGCUUCUCAGUUUUCCUGCAAGCAAUAAUUUCAGGAAGUACGCUGCUAAAUAUUUCAUCAAUAAAAACUUUGCGGGUUGAUUUCAUUAUUCCAGCAUGCAGCUGAUGGCUUAUAUCCUCAACUAUAUCACUCAUUAAAGCGUUCAGCGACCCAGAAUCAUUGGCUGCAGAUUCUGAACGUUCUGCACCUCCACUCCACCAAUCAAUUAGUGAAACAAGAGUAAAUGGGCCAAACUUGCUGUCGACAUGGUAAAUCUACAGUUAAAAAGAACUGUUAUUGUUCAGACUAUAUACUAGUGCAAACAAGAAUAAUUCAUAAAUGUAAAUGCGCUGUAAUUGGGGAAACUGCGUACAUAACACAUCAUAACUGAUCUGCCAUCUUGUUGCAUUAAGAUAGGUAUAACGAACUGAAGUUUCAUCAUAAAUCUUGGUCUUUUACCCAUAAGUUGAGUGAACAUGGACAUGCUAAUAGUUUACUGUUUUUUAUUCCAACUUAACUGAGAUAUCCAGAAAAAAAAUUCCUCAGCCGGGAGAGAAAAAGGAUAUGUAAAAGAACAAAUGCAUCAAAUACUCCUUUGUGAUGCUAAUCCAAUAAAAUCUAUAAAUGAAGCAAGAUUCAAAAGGCUCUUCCAAAAAAAAAGGAACAAAUAGAAUGGUGUACUAAACAUCAAAUAAUUAUGACCAGAGUGAGUAUGUUCAAAAUAGAUUACAUGUAUGUCCAUAUUUCUUUACGAUGCAGUCAAAAGCGUCUUUAUUACACUUCGAACACAUGCUAUGUCCACUUACCUCCUAGAUGCACAUGCAUUUCCAUAUAUAUUUAUGGUGCGGCCAAAAAGUCUUUAUUACCCAUCAAACACAAGUGAUGGCCACUUACUCCUAGAUGGUAAUAGUAAUACUAACCAUUAGAUUUCAUAUAACAGAUGGAGCAGAACAGAUGGUGUUUAGUUGAAACGCCAGACCACAUUUCCCAUUACGCUGAUAAUCGAAACACAGUGAGGAAUAAAGUGGGGAGAUCACUUUUGUGGUAACGUUUUCCCAAAGAACUCGAUACUGGUGGUAACGAGCUUUGUAUUGGGACCGUAUCGUAUGAUUCGUAUCCCAUGGUAUUGGAUACCAGUGUACGCAAACCAAACAAAUUCGUAAUCAAGUUGCAGUGUUAACUUGCUACAGAGAAAAACAGCCAAACAAAACAACGCUAUAAUUCGGUGCACUUUAAAUUUCCAUAUACUAUUGUAUCAUCUAGUGCAUAAGAACAUUGUGGCAGACUGAUAUUCUAGAGGAAGUGGUUAGUUAGGGCCAAAUCGAAACAAUGCCUUUAAUCAUUGUAGAACGGCCAUUGAAUUACUUGUUUAAAAACAGUAAGCAUGGCAAAGGAAUGACAUUAUCAGUCCAACAAAAUAAACAUUUGCAAGCAUAAAGGAAUGGAUCCAGGAUAAAUAUGGCUCUAGCUGAUGCUUUUCUUACCAUUGAAAGGUCAUGCAGAUAGCUACUGUGAUGCCAAUAAGAAAGUUCAGCAAGAGAAUGUGGGCCAUGUCUGCGGCCUUCUGCAUCCUCAAACAUCCAACAUGAUUCUUCACUCAAAAGAGCCUGGCAUAGAGAAUAGAAACUACACAAGUCAGGAAGGUAGACAAGCAAAGCAAAAGGAUGAUGUGCAUAAUAUGGACAGAAAUAAAAGCCAUACAUCCGGAAGAAGCAAUUUGCUAACAGAAGCCAGUUUCUUAUUCCCUGCUGAUUUGUUUCUUGUGUCGACCGCAGCAUUGGAAUUCCAUUGCGAAAGGAACUGUUUCAGGAAACUUAAGUGCACAGGGUUCGCCAUUUUCCCGCCAAAAACUGCAUAAAUAGCAAGAUCGUGGGGCAAGAAACCAGUGGAUAAACCCUCAUACAGCUGUUCGGGUGAGUAAGGGCCGCACAUCUGCCCAUGCUGAUUCAUGUACAUGCAGCCUUCCAAAGUCUGGUUCUGCACAUACCCAUCACCAUGUGUCCCAUUCUGGCCAGCUGAAUACCGUAGGUCAGACUGCGGAUACACCACGCCAUUGCUGUCGACAGAGCAAGUGUUUUCCUGCAUUGCAGCAAACAUGCCAGCGCCUUGCGUCUGGUCACCACCGCUGCAGGAAGCCACCUGAUGCCGUUCCGAAAACCUGAUCAAUCGACCAAACACGUGAGAUGGAGAACACCAUAAAUCAAUCCAUCAGUCGAUCAAUUUCUAGAAGUGAAUGCAUCAGCUAAGGAUCAGUGAAGCCCCUACCAUCGGACCAAAUCCCCUCGCGCAUCGCCGGACGCUGUCGCCGUGCUCUCCUCCAUGUCCUCCUCCCCUGCCUCCUCGAGCAGCAACACCCUCACGCGCUUCCUCCCACGGCAAGCAUCGGCGUCGCCGCGGAAGCCCGACUCCACCGCCUGCACAACACUCAUCAUCCCCUGAACAAACCCGAACACAAUAAAUCGGUAUCCGCAGAUCUCUUCAUCCCCUCAAGCAUCGUCAAAGGAUCAACGCGGAUCUAAAGCUACGAACCCUAAAUAAAGACUAACACGAGCCGACGGUGAGUCGAGGCCGCCGGAGAGGUGGGUUGGGGGGGGGGAGCUUACCGGAUCGGAGCGAGCGUGCGGCAUGGUGAGGCGAUGAAGACGACGCCGGCUUCGCCGCGCCGCCUGGGGGAGAGGUCGGGGUCGCGACCCGUGCCGUGCUGACGUCACCUCUUUGUCUCUCCCUCCUCCUCUCAAGUCUCGAGGUCGAGGGGGUGGAGCCAAGCAAGCGGCGACGCCGGCGAGCGGUCUGGACGGCGGCGGCAGCCGGCGCUACCACCGUCUCCGCCUGCACGUACGGGCGUCGUGCGGCAGCCGGCUCCAGCUGAUGGCGAGUGGCCGAGACGCCGAGUGCUUCUGGUCCUUCGAGUUCGAGACUGCUAGGAUUAUAGGACAUACAUUCAGUUUGGGCCGGUUGGGCCAUUGGGCCAAAUUGGUACUAGGCUGCUGCUCGAAAUUCCGGAUAAUUUUUCAGAAAGUUUUCAACCGAUUUCGCGUUCCGAUGAAUAAUACUCUUAUCGUCUCCGUUUCUGUUUUCGAAAAAAAUUCGAUUUCAGUUCUGAUUUCGAAAAAUCCUGAAAAAAUUCCGAGCAACGUGUUCUAUUUCCGAAAAUAGAUCCGGAUUCCAGAAAAAUUCUGAACCAAUACGCUAGGUGGAGGUGGACUCGCUGUGUAGUAGUAUAGGCAGGGCGUGCGGUUCGCGGUUCUCGGAGCAUCUCCAAGAGCUUGCUAUCCAUACUUCACAUCCAUGUUUUUCUGGUAAAUUAAAAAAAAGCACUCCAAUGAUUUGCCAUAUGGCUUUCUCAAAUUUAGCAAUUUGUCAUAUAUCCUCAUUUGCGCCUAUAUUUAAGAGUCCAAGUUUGCGUUGCCAUCACAGAAAAAGUACAACACACUCCUCUCUCGCGCGCGGAACUCACACACGUCGACUCCGCCUCCUACGUGCGCCAUCGGUGUGCCGUGCGUCGCCGGCUCCUGCCGCCAUGUGUCGUCGCCUCCGGGAGCCACCGUCGCGGGUCGUCACUCCACGGCGAGUGUGGCGACGGCAGGAGGCAUGGCGCAGGGAGGGCAGGACGAGGCGGCAGGUGGUGGGGUCGAACACGAAUGUGCGUGGACAAGACUUUCAAUUUUCAGAUUGAAAAUACAAAUUAUGGGUCCAAUUUUAGUUUUGCCAACUAAAAUAUACAAAACUAUUGGAGACCGAGUAUAAUUUUCUUUGUCAUAAUAUUUGAAGACUUGCCAAAACACCAGAUUUUUUGAGAAAAAAAUUUGUCUAGCUCUUGGAGAAAAAAAUUUGUGUAGCUCUUGGAGAUUCACAUCAGAUGUUUAGACACUUAUUAUAAAUAUUAAACAUAAACUAUUAAUAAAACUCAUCUAUAAUCUUGCACUAAUUCGCGAGAUAAAUCUAUUGAGCCUAAUUAAUUCAUGAUUAGCUUUAAAAAAUUUAGGCUUAAAUAAUUAUGGAUUUUAGGCUUAAAAAAUUUAUCACGCGGAUUAGUUCUUAUUUCUUUAAUUAGUUUUAUAAUUAGUCUACGUUUAAUAUUUAUAAUAAGUAUCUAAACAUCCGAUAUGAUAUGUGACUAGAAAGUUUAACCACAUUUAAACAAUCCCAUGUAUGUGGAUAUUUCUUAGAGUGCACAAGGAGGGUUGGCUUGAAAGGUGAUGGGCCAACGAAGUACGAAGGCCGAAGAAGACGGACGGUGGGCUGGGCCCAGAUUCAACCGACAUGUGGGCCCAGGAAGCUGUAUACACCGCAACGGCAAUCCCGCCAUCUCCCACCGCACCUGCCACCGUCACGCUAUACCAACACCGCGCGUCGGUCGUGAACUAUGACCUCAUCCAAUAUAACUCUCGCCCACCCUUGCCCAGAACAGAAAAAUAUAGUAGCUAGAUAGUUUUUUCCCUCGAUGCACAAUCUAAGACUUUGAAAAAAAAAAUUAAUCCAUCCAUUCAUUCAAAAAGAUCACAGACAGAAUCAGACUCCUCAAGUUUUCUUUUCAAAUGUAUAUCAUGUAGCAUGAAGUUUAAACAUCAUCAUUUGCCAGAGAGAGUUAACUUGCACACCAAAGUCACUCGUCAUCCCACACCACCCCCACCUCAUCUUCAUGCACCCACACAACAUCCUCCUCCUCGCUGCCAUCUUGAUGUUGUUCGCCUCUCCUCUUUUCAUCCAGGUAACUCAGUAGCUUGGGGAACAGGAAUGAAUCAUCCAGCUGCAUUGUGUGCUCAGCUGUAUGAUUCUGAUAAAACCGUCCCACAGUACUAGUCCCCUUCUGAAAGCAUUUAUCACACAGAUCAAAACCAGGCGCCUCACACUCCGUGCAGCUAUAUCUUCUCCCUUGGAUUGGGAAGACCUACAAAACAAACAAACAGAUAUAUCAAUUCAAACAGGCUGCUGAGAUAGACAACAAGCUGAAUUUAACGGCUGGUGUAUAUCUAGCCAGCCAUAGCUAAGUUUAGAGUUCAAAGAAAAAUACCCCACAAUCAUCACAGCCCACCCCCACGUGGGUAUGUUUCAGCCUUGAAGAUUGCACUUUGCUUGGGCCUGUUUUCUUCUCUGGAACUCCUAAUCACAACAAGAGACAUUGCAGCAAUGAUGGUAUGGUGUACAAAUUAUUUUGCAAAAUGUAACAUAUAUACCUGAAUAUGAAACUCUUUGCUGCCUUAAAUUGUAUUCUUCGAAGAAGUAAUGCUUCAAAAAGUAAUCAAGGUUCCAGCACACUGUAAGCUUUGCAGGAUGGGGAGCUCCACAAGCUUGACAUUUAAUUUCCUUCUCAUCAACAUAUGGUAGGCAUGUCAAGCAGUAAACUGUUCAUAAAAUAAUAAUGUCAGUUUUCAACAAAAUAUAGGUAUCCAUAUUAUUUUGUCAUAAAUUUGAGCUCACCAUGGCCACAGUUCAACACACAAGGUUCCAACAGCAGCUCCUUACAGAAGAUACAUAGAACAUCUUCCAAACUGACCUUCACACCUACCAAAGAAACAAACAGUUAAAAUAAAGUGGAUGACCAAAAAGAAACAAUGAUAAUCUACAGUAAAAAAGAACUGUUAUUGUUCAGACUAUAUACUAGUGCAAACCAAGAAUAAUUCAUAAAUGUAAAUGCGUUGUAAUUGGGGAAACUACGUACAUAACACAUUAUAACUGAUCUGUCAUCUUGUUGCAUUAAGAUAGGUAUAACCGUAUAAUGAACUGAAGUUUCAUUAUAAUAAUAUCUUGGUCCCAUAAGUUGAGUGAACCAAAAUGAUUUCCAUACAGCACAUGAACAUGCUAAUAGUUUAAUGUUUUUACUCAUCUAAAAACGGCCUACCAAUCAAACGCACCAUAUCGGUUAAUCAAAUGGGGUUUGCGAAAGAAAAACUUGCUACGGAACAAAACAAAUACUAAUUCCGGUUUCAAAUACUAGUUCGAGGCCCAAGAAGCCGCGAACGGCACGGACCGACCGUGGUGUUGGACAUUCCCUGAUGGCGCGCAUCUUCUGCCCGUCCAUAGCGAUACCCGCCGCUGACACAACAUGUCCGACUGGCCAAAGCCAAGAAACGAGUUUGAUAUGCUGCCACCGUAGAGUUUUGCGACAAUUGCUUUAGCUCGCCCAAAGAAUUGGGAUAGAUUGGGGGAUCGAAUUGUGCUUGACACAAUUCUUUGAACAGAGUCCAAUCUAGUGGUCCCUUAUGUUGCUCAUAGUGGAAGUACCACUCGUGGGCGGUGGAGCAAGUGGGGCAAAGUAGGAUAUCUGCACCAGAUUAUUGCUGAUUUGUAUUUGGGUUAAUUUGAUCAGUGCCACUGCAAAUUCGCUGUAUUAGAAAAAUACCAUUACUAUUCGUGAUAUCGAUCAUGUGCCAAUGCAAUUUUACAAAAUUAGAUCCAUGCCAUUGCCGUCACGUUUCUUCGAGGACGGUGUAGGGACAACGCCAGCUCUUUCUGGAGUCACGGCGCCGCCGCCGUCGAGGGUUCCAGCGACGUAGCUGCUUGCCGUCAUUACUUGGGAGGGGGCAGGGAGAGUUUAAGGAAGAGCUACGGUGAGUUCGUCGACACCACGUACGACACUACCGCCCCGACGCCGCACCAGCAGACCGCGUGUGCAUCCCUAUUCAAGAGCGCCGCUCUUCGCGACCUCAUCGAUGGGGCUCUUCACCUAGCUCGCCUCCGUCGCGUCGUACAGGGGCAUGCGAUGUUGGCUGUGCUGCUAUAGAUCAGGAUGUCGUCAAAGAAGACAAGCACGAAGCGACGAAGAAAUGGUGAGAGAACUUCAUUCAUGAGAGCAUGGAAUGUUGCUGGUGCAUUAUUAGUAAGACCAAAAGGCAUCACCAAAAAUUCAAAAUGACCUUGCUGUGUAAUGAAUGUUGUCUUGUAGAUGUACGGAGGGAGCAUGAGGACUUGGUUAUACCGGAGCACAAAUCCAAUUUUGAGAAAAACUUGGCACCAAGAAGUUCGUCGAGCAGUUCGUCGAUGAUGGGUAUAGUAAAUUUAUCCUUGACGGUAGCAGUGUUAAGUGCAUGAUAAUCGACACAAAACCACCAAGAGCCAUCAUGUUUGCAGACGACUAGGACCGAUGAUGAAAAUGACGACGUGUUGGGUCGAAUAAUUCCUUGCUUGAGCAUGGCAGGGCACUGUUGUUCUAGCUCAUCUUUUGGCAAUUGGGGAUAGUGGCAUGGGCGAACUGCUACUAGACUGGCAUCUGGCUUGAGACAUAUGGGAUGAUCAAUUGGCCGUGCUGAGGGGAGGCCUCGUGGUUCGGUGAAGAUAUCCUCAAAUUCCUCGAGAAGGCGGCCCAUGAUAUUGCCGAAAUUGAUGGCAGCAAAGUGCGAUGAACAGCAGUCCGCCAGGCCAUGCAGGGUGACCUCCCGUGUACUGCGCCAAAUCGCCAUCCUCAUUCGGUUGAAGUCCCACAAGGUAGGCCCCAAGGUGCGAAGCAAUCGAUCGUGAACUAUUCUACAUCAAUCUGCAAAACGAGGUUGUUGCAACAGGCGAGGCUAACCAAGCGAUCCCCGUUGGUCACCACCAUGCGCAAGUCCGACCGAACUGGUAGGAGCUGGAGACUGAGCAGAUGGGCUAACUCGGUGUGGAUGAAAUUACGUGUUGAUCUCGAAUCGAUGAGAGCCACAACAUUACUGCCUGCUAGGUUCACCAGCAAAUGCAUGGUGUCUACGUCGCCCACUCCAGACAACGCAUUAAGGGUCACGCGCGGUUCAUCUGAGAUGUCCUCUGCGUUGAUGUCAUCCUCCUCCGGUGUUGAGUCAUCAUAUUCGAUGUAGAAAAGCCGCGCACACUUAUGUCUACAAACAAAUUUCUAAUCGCAAUUGUAACAAAGGUGUUGACGACGUCGGUCGGCAAGCUUGGAUGGAGACAACCGACGGAACUAGCGGAUAUUUGCAUCCGAGAUGGAUUCAGUGCCAAAAGAUGGUGUCAGACGGCUUGGUGUGGCAGUAAAAUCCCCGCGGCUCAUGCUCCGGAACGUCGGUCGGGAGGCGGUUGUGGCGAGGCGGGUUGCCUUGCAUUCGUAAGCAUGAGCAAGGCUCAUAGCCUCCUGUAGAUCCUCCGGUCGGUCGAGCUCGACAUCAACGACGAUGUCAUCCCGUAGGCCGACAGUGAAGAGUUGUAUCUGCUGUAAAACAGUGAGGGCCUCCAUCGUCCGACUAGACAAAGCUAGGAAACGAGUUUGAUAUGUCGCCACCGUAGAUGUUUGCUUUAGCUCACCCAAAGAAUUGCAAUGGAUUUGGGGGACCAAAUUGUGCUUGACACAAUUCUUUGAACAGAGUCCAAUCUGGUGGUCCCUUAUGUUGCUCGUAAUGGAAGUACCACUUUUGAGCCUCCGGUGAGAUGGUAUGUGCCUAAUCACAGCCGAUCCCCAUCCCGCGAAAGAAUUAUUCACAGUGAUUGAACCAAUUCAGCGAGUUUUCCUUGUCGUCGUAUUUGGGAAACUCCAAUUUGUAGAAGCAAAGCACGAUUGUACCCCUGCUGUUUUCCUGCACUCCGACCGAUCCAAUCAUAGAAGGUUGUCAAGGUGGUGUUGACAUCAGCCCCUCACCGCCCAAUCUGGGCAGGUGGGUUGGUGAUGACGACGGUCCUCCUUGCAAUUGCUCCAAUGAAAUGAUGCGAGAUGAAGUGACUGCUACUGCUCAGCUAAGAUCUACCAAGUCGUUCUUUGAAGCAAGCAAAGAGAUGCCGUUGAGAACUUCUACCAUGGUUGCUAACAACUUCGCCAAGGCAUCCUCAGCGUCCGGCGCAACGGAUUUGUUGGCUAACGACUUGUCUUGGACCAUUUGCUCUGAUACCAGGAUUCCUUUAUUGCCGAGACGAGUCGUAUUGACGCUGCUCCAACGCCGUGAUGCGGGAGGUGGCCACUGCGAACGUGCGGCUGAGAUCGGCGAGAUCGCUUUUGGAAGCAAGGUGCAAAAUUUUGCCAGCACGUCAGCCAUGGUGUCUUGUAAUUUUGCAAGCGCAUCGAUUAGCUCGAGCACGGGCUGCUCAUGGGAAGGUGGAUCGUGUGCCAUUGGCUUUGAUACCAAGUUGUUAUGCGCCCGAGUAUACGAUCUAAUUGGAUAGUUAUGAGUGAUGAGAGGGCGUGGACGCGGCAGCCUUGCUGCUGGGCCUCGUGACAACGAACAGAGAACAAUUGGAGAUGAGAAACAGAAGACAGGAGAUGAGGAAGAUAGAUCGAAUCCAGCUUGAUUUAUUCCCCGACGAGUUGUCUACAAUUUAGUUUUGGAAGAUUUAAGCUAAAUUUCUUUUGAAGUAGUUAGCAUUGCCUAUGAUAUAGCAUUUUGUUGUUUUCAGUACCUCGUCCAUUGAUUCCCAUUUUCCUUUUUUUUAAGUACUUGAAGAGAGUUUAUAAAGAAGUUUACUUCUUAGCAUGUCACUAAUUUGCGACAAUGUUAUUCUGUCGGUUGGGUAAAACAAAGGGAAAAAAUCAGAUUAGGUGUGAUGCUCCCUUUGAAAUGAUCGAAUAAAAUGUUCAUGACAACAAAUUUUGGGAGAGUGAAUCCCAUAAAGUCGAUGGCAGCAAUGGCCAAGGUUAGAGUGCAUCCUCCCCAGGCAACAUGACUGCUUUUAGAAUUUGAGCUUUGCCCUAUUUUUCCUGGUCCAUUGCUUUUUCCAAUGAACAUAUCAACAUGUUAUUGUUGAGGUAUAUGGCUUAGUAACACUUGCAUUUGAUUUUAUGAUGGUUUCUCAACUCCAUGUGUUCCAUUUAACUGAAAAUGGAUGGCCAAUAUUUCUUUUAUCCCAGAUUCAUGGAAACACGGCUGAGAAGCCUAUACAAGUUAUAGCCCUUAUGUGUGGCCUAAAAUCACCCUUCAAUAGGUAUUGCCUUUUCAUUUUCAGAAUUGGAAUAUGUAACUGUUUUCUUGACCAUGCAAACAAUCAUUUAGAACUGUACAAACCAAUGUGGAUCCUCCUUUUAUCUACAGUAAUUAGAUUGUUCUCUUCUCUAUACCUCACUACAAUCUAUUUUUAACAAUGCUAAUUUAGAAAAUGUUGAAAUACUCUAAUAAGCGACUCUAUCAAUUAAAUAUCUAGACUAGCUACUAAUUUAUUAUUACCUUAAAGGUCAAGCUAACAAAUUUAAUAUUUAUUUAAAAUUGCGGGGCCAUGGCAUUAGGGGUGGACAAAAAGCUCGGGCUCGUGAGCUCGGCCCGAGCAUGGCUCGAGCUCGCAAAGCUAGACUCGGCUCGAAAAUUAAACGAGCCAAACCCAAUUUGUCUCCAUAGCUCGUUUGCAAAAGUCGAGCCCAAGCUGGCUCACAAGCCACUCGGUAGUCUUGUCGAGCUGUGGAAAAAUUAACCUGGCUCAUUAACAAGUUGUCUAGCCCAUGAGAAAUAGAGAAACCUGAACCUAUUAUCCGCUCGCACAACAGAAACUCCCCUCCCCUUCCUGUCUUCUCACGCGGCUAUGCCGCUGUCACACCGAGAUCGAGACAGCGAACACGACUGAGGGGCGAGAGGAGUUGUCGCCCCUAUGCUCGUAUAUGAAUUGGAGAGAUUAUAUAUAAUUGUUGAUGGCAUUGAACUAUUUUUUAGAAAAACAAUAUGAUACUUUUGCACUUUUGUUAUAUGAUUUUAAUUAAAGAUCAAUUAAACAUAUUCUCGAAAAAUAAUUCAAAAAACAUGAACUUUAAUGAUUUAUUAACCAAAAAUUAUAACAACGCAGCAUUAGCACGUGCAUGUAACUAGUGCAUACAUAAUAAAUAUAGAUGAAUUGGAAGCUUGAAUGGAGUACUCACUUUUUUCUGCAUGACUUAGCUUUGAAAUCAACUGACCAAUAACACCACAUUGUCGUGGGAGAUGAUCAUGAUUAGCUUUGCAAAUGCAACACCUUGAGCUCUCAACAAUAGACAUGGAUUCUGAACAACAGUUGAGGCAUAUCAUGUGCCCGCAGACUGUAGCAGAAUAAGAACAUGAAAAUGAGAUGGAGAUUAUUGCCACGAUAACAAAACAAACAAAAAGAGAAUUGAAGCUGCGUCAAUAAAACACAAACAUUACCUAGAACCACGGGUUUGUAAGCUGGUUCUCUGCAAAAUAAAAGGAAUCAUUUUGAGUAUUCUCAACCUAACAUGUAGGACAGUUUGAGUUUGUUGCAGAAGAAGAUGAAGACGGGUAAGGAAAACUUACAGACAUAUUGGGCAGCAAAACCACCGGUCCAACAGCCAUGCGCCCUGGUCACUCCCCGUACCAGGCAUGACACCGUCAAUGAAGAUGGAGACAUGAUCCUCCUUGCCCACCAUGGGGUCUUCCUCCUCCUUGCCCGCCAUGGGGUGUUCUUCCUCCUAGCCCACCAUGGGGUGUUCUCACGUAGCCAGCUGCGACGGACCCAAGUUGCAAGAUUCAUAUCAUCAAAAGAAGAAGUUAGCAAUUAACUAAUCAAGAUCAGACAAAAUGGAUAGUUCCAUUAACUAAAUGACAUUUCUAGCCCGAAAAGUAUGAGGUACACAUAGGUAGUGAGCAUCAUCUUACUAAAUCCUGCUUAGGUAGCGCAAGACAAACGGAUCUAUCAUAACGCACUUUCAAAUGAUGAACUUGCUAAUGCAACCUUUCUCCUAAAUGCUAGAAGCAAACCAGCAUGCUAGAGACAGCUAAGCCUUGGGCUCAAACCAGGAUUUACAGUUUUAGUUUGCACAUUUCUAUAGAAGGGGCAAAAUUUCAGAAUUUCAAUUUUCGGAUUUUUCGAACGAAAGUUUUUGAAUUCAAAUUUGAAAUAUAGUUGAAAUGUCUGAAAAAAAUCCAAAAAAAUAGAAAAAUUUCGCAACAAACAACAUUGAUUACUACUACCUCAGUUUCAUGAUGCAAGAUGUUUGACUUUUUUUUUGUUGCAAUGUUUGACCAUUUGUUUUAUUCAAAAAUUUAGUACAAAUAUAAAAAAGGUCAAGUCGUGCUUAAAGUUUUUUUGAUAAUAAAGUAAGGCACAAGCAAAAUAAAUGAUAUUUUCAUAAUUUUUAAAUAAGAUAAAUGGUCAAACAUUGGAACCAAAAAAGUUAAACAUCUUACAUUAUAAAACGGAGAGAGUAUUUCUUUUCCUUCUGAAAAGAAGGUACUACAACUCACUAUUUCCUAUUCAUGCAUAAUAAACUAAUAAAACAACAGACCACAUAUGAUCAUCCACAACCAACCACAUCAAUCUCUGCAAACAUACCAACAAAAAAAGGUGACUAAAUUCAUGUGUUCUGAAUUCAUGCAGUACAACCCCAGUCUAACCUACUUAUGGUAUGUUUGUGAUAAACAGGGGUAGCACCCCACCAACACCUCCAGUUGCUAAGAAGCUAUUCAAGGAUGAUGCCCACCAGCAUAAUAGUGAGAGAUUACCCUACAAAAACUGAUCUUAUAUAUUUCUACAUAUACAUGUGUCCUUCACUACAAACCACUGAAUAUAGAAACUCUUUAUCUCCUUUCAACAGUGAAUGAGAUGGAUGCAUAUAGACAGACGAAAAAACUUUUGCCUAUGUGUAUAAACACUCCUACUGUAAUCACAAGGAAGCAUCUGGUAGACGACUCCAAGCUAGGAACCAAGGCUUUUGGACCACAGGCUGUGCAUCGUGGUCACAACUGUAAAUAAGAACUGCUAUCAUCUCUACGAGAACUAUCUGUGCAUCACUUCCCUUAUCAAAACACAAGGAUGUUUCCCUUUAGUAGACUGAACCAUUCCAACUUAUGCACCACUUCCUUCUUCCUGUAGUACCACUCUAUGUUUAUGGAUGCUUAUCAAUCAGACCAUUAGACCACUGUAUAAUAUUAAGCAGUUCUAUCCGUGCAUCAGCUACCUAACACAUCUUCAAUUAUAGUGCUCGCAAAUAAAAAGGUGUUGCAUAUCUUUAGAAAGAAGACAAGAUGUGAGGGAAAAAAAAAGGUAAUUACCUCCUGCUCCUGGUGGUGGUAGUAAAUGUUGAGUUCACAUAAGAUUCACUCCAUGAAUCUAAAAUUCAGUAAAAUUUUCACAUAAGAUUCACUUGAUGAACUCAACAUUUACUGCUAGUGUUGCUGCUAGUUACCUCCUGGUGGUGGACUGGUGGGCGACGGCGUGCAGAGGCCAGAGGGUGAGGGGGGCGACGGCGUGCAGAGGGUGGGGGGUCGACGGCGGCUGGGGGAGGCCGAGCGCCGGCGCCGCGGCGGUCGGAGGGUGCACGAGCGACGGUAGGUGGCGCAGGCCGNNNNNNNNNNNNNNNNNNNNNNNNNNNNNNNNNNNNNNNNNNNNNNNNNNNNNNNNNNNNNNNNNNNNNNNNNNNNNNNNNNNNNNNNNCGCGACGGGCGCCGACGCCGGCAGCGGGCAGCGGCCGUGGGCGAGACAGCGACCCGAGGAGGAGACGACUAAUUAUUUUUAUUCGCACGGGUGGCCGCGCGUGAAUUGGGUAUUUUCGGGCCUCGUAGGGUUUCCUCCUCGGAUUUGGAGUUUUUUUUUAACCGAAAUAUUUGACCCGAGUCACUUACUAUCGGGACCCACUGAAAUGGCCAAAAAUUUGAAAAUUUCAUUCGGGAAUUUUGAACCCUGCCAUAUGUGUGUUGCACGGCGUGAGUGCUAGCUUAGUGGUUGUGUUGCGUGGCUGAGUGAGCAGAGAGAUUGGCCGUGAGUACUCGCUGAUUAUGUUGCCAGGAGAUGAGAGUACAUCUAGGCUCUAGCUAAUUAGUUAGCCAUGCAUGCAAAUGUGACCCUAGGAUCAGCUCACGUCUAGGAGAAGGAAGUACUCCAUGUUUGCAUGGACGCAUGCUUGCAUCCGAGAUUGACUAGGACAUCUUCAGUUGGAUAUGGGUGAGUUAGUUAUCUAGGAUCACGCCGUCGUCGAUGCUGCCACCAUUGGCCGAGAAGCAUGAUGCCAUGAUUCUCUUCUUGCGGCGGCCGAGUGUUAACGUUAGAAUUUGGAUAAUUGCCGUUAGAGAUUAAACUGUGAUUAAAUACCGAAUCAUACAGGAAACAGGGAAUCGGACAUAGAUUAAUGGGAGUACAACUCAGAUUUAGCCGACGGAGUCCGGAUCGGAUAAGAAUAGAGUCCGAUUGGGCCUAGAAUGUUACAGAUAGAUUCGGGAAUAAUUAAAGUCCGUGUAAUUUAAUUUUAUCUGUUAGCUACAGUUAGUUUAUAUUUUUCCUUUUAUCUCUAAGAGAGUCAGUACGAUCGGGACUUGUGUGUUAGAAUCUAUCUAGGAGUUUGUUAUUUCUUUUUAUCUAUUAGGAGUUAUAUGUCGUGUCCAACACGGCCUAGCAUCCACCCGAGGGUAUAAAUAUGUGUGUCCGGGGUCAUUGUUAAUCAUCUCUCAAUCAAUCAAAUUUCAACGCAUCGCCACCCUCUUGUCCGAGGUUUUCAACUCCGGCGGAACUUGGCACCUGACGCGGGGCUGCAUCGUAUCGAUCUCCGACGGAGGGGUAAGUCCUACGUUCCGCCGGGCCACGGUAAUCGCAUCAACUAGAUUGGAACUGUCUUGAUUCGGUCCGAUCUUCUAAUCUGGUUGUGCGAUUGCUAUUUAUCGUAUCAGUUUCAGUCUGAGUUCUUUAUGUAUCUUAGGUUGAUCUGGUCAACCACUUUGAGUGAUUUACAUCAAUUUGAUAUUUCCUAUUUGAUAUAUUCAAUCUAGUACUGUCUCGGUUAGGUCCGAUCUAGUAGAUUGCGUUUAUCAAAUGGUUUAUAUCAGAUUGAUAUAUCUUGCUCGUAGUUUUAUCGGAGUAUCAGCCAAUAAGUUAUCCCGAGUAAUCUGUUGGUUUAUUCAUUAAGUUCAUCGAUCUUCAUAUUCCUAUGAAUCAUAUCGUGCUAGAUCGCAUACUGUCUUGGUUAGGUCCGAUCUAUGCGCAUUUAGUUCGAUCUGCUUCUAGGAAUCCGUCCGAUCGGCUGAGAUUAAUGAAUAAGUUGAUAGAUUACGUUGGUUUGAUAUCCUGUUAUUCAUAUACUGCAAUACUCGAUCGACUUCAUGCAUGAUUACGCUCAGAUCUGUACUGUCUUGGUUGAGUCCGAUCUUCUAGGUCUAGCGUGAGUAUGCAUGUAGUUAAUUAUUAUUGCUUUAUACUAGUAAUUGGUAUAGCAUUCCAGUUUAUAUCAAAUUCUCAUCGGUUCAUUGGCUUGAUAGCGAUCUAGAUCUGUUUAGUAUAUAUCCUUACAUUACUAGGCAUAAUCUUGAGCUGUCUUGGUUAAGUCCGAUCUUCUAUGAUUAUUCUUAGCAAUCUAGGUUAGAUAUUUUAUAUAUCUUGAUCGCCUGUCAGUCGUUCAUAGCCGAUGAUGUCUGCCGAUCUACAUGCUUAUUAUAUUUACGUCAACAAAGCAGUCGAUUGCCUUGCUACAUUAUUUUUAUACCUAUCAGCUGGAUUCAUUUAGAUCUGCACUUAUUUAUGUUGCAUCGACUUAUAAGAAUUAUAUGCAAAUUAGUUUUAGCCGAUCGCGACACAUGAUUUAAUGUUUACUUAACUAUUUGAGCUUACAUGUAUCGGAUUCUCAGCCGAUCCAAACUUUCAAACAGCCGAUUGAUCAUCCUAUCGGCUAAGAUCGGCUGAAUCUUCAGUUAUCUAUCGGCUCGAUGGCCGAUCGGCUUGUUUCACUGUUCAUCUUGUUAGUUGCAGGAUCAAACUGACUGGCACGCCCGCGCAUCCUUCUAAGAAUUUAGGUCCUGCACUGGAGCUGUCUAAGAUUGACUUCUAGGCCUUCGUGUGUGACGCGUCAACGUUCACAUUUUGACGUCAACACCAAGUUUUUGAACCUAGCGGCGGCGGACGGCGGGAUCCACGGAUGCUGGGAGCGUGAGGUCAAAGUCGGAGAGCAUGACGUGAUCGUCGCCUCGGAGCAGGACGUGCGUUCUUUGCUUCAGGGUAGCAGUACACGAAGCCGAGCGCAUGCAAGUACUCAAGCGCCAGAAGCACCUCAGCAGCAUACAACCUCGCAGCGGCAAUAGUCAGGCGGUGCCGGAGCACCGCGUGGAGGUCGCCCCUAGAGCAGUAACCAUGAGGAAGCACGCAUAGCGUCCGGCAUCGAGGCAUGCGUAGAGUAGAGGGUGGGCAUGAAGGGGUGGUCGAGCGAGGAGAGGACGUGUGACUUGACGAUCGAGCAUAUGGGCGGGAAGUGGGGCGAGAUGCCGGAGGAGAGCGGGGAUGGCGGGGCAGGGUCAAGCACGUCCAUUGGUAGCGACGAUUCUGCUUGCAUGGCCGCGAGAGAGAGGGAGAGGGAGAAGCACACGCCGGCCGCCACCACGCUCCGGAGAAGCAUAGAAGAGAGGAAGAAAGAGAGAGGAGAGGAAGGGAGAGAAGGAGAGGAAAAAAAAUUAAAAAACUGACAUGUGGGACCCAUUAGAUGCCACAUCAGCAAAAACAGUAAAAAAUGAGCUAAAUUUGCUGAAAGACCUUUUUCCAAACAGAUUAUACGAGUUUAGGGGUACACAUUUCUGAUAUUCCGGUUAAGGGAAAAAACAGACUCACCUUUAACUUAAGAGACCUUUGGUGGACUUUUUUCUCAGAAAUAUAUAUGCACUAAUCCAUUACUAGUCAGCCCAUAUACCUGCAACAACAGGACUAGGUCCAUGAACAUUGGCUCACACAAAAAUGACAUUUUGCACAAGAGUGCUGUAAAAACAGUUAGAUGGAGUGAUUUUGAGAAGGAGAGAGAAAAAAAAACUGACAUGUGGGACCCAUUAGAUGCCACAUCAGCAAAAACAGUAAAAAAUGAGCUAAAUUUGCUGAAAGACCUUUUUCCAAACAGAUUAUACGAGUUUAGGGGUACACAUUUCUGAUAUUCCGGUUAAGGGAAAAAACAGACUCACCUUUAACUUAAGAGACCUUUGGUGGACUUUUUUCUCAGAAAUAUAUAUGCACUAAUCCAUUACUAGUCAGCCCAUAUACCUGCAACAACAGGACUAGGUCCAUGAACAUUGGCUCACACAAAAAUGACAUUUUGCACAAGAGUGCUGUAAAAACAGUUAGAUGGAGUGAUUUAGAAUAAGGGGCUGUUUGAAUCUAGAGACUUUUUUUAAGUCAUUUGUCACAUCGGGUAUUUGGACGUUAAUUAGGAGUAUUAAAUAUAGACUGAUAACAAAGCUAAUUACAUAAAUAAAGGCUAUUUCAUUAGACAAAUUUUUUAAGCCUAAUUAAUUCACGAUUAGCAAAUAUUUACUGUAGAAUCACAUUCGCUAAUCAUGGGUUAAUUAGGCUCAAUAGAUUCGUCUAGCGAAAUAGUCCAAGAUUUUGGAUGGGUUUUAUUAAUAGUCUAUAUUUAAUACUUCUAAUUAGUGUCCAAGCAUUCGAUGUGAUAGGGACUUAAGAAAAGUUUGGAGGAUCCAAAUAGGCCCUAAAAAAUAUGAAUGAAAUGGUUCCUCAAGAAUCAACUAGUUGCAAGUACUAUGCAUUCCCUGCUGAAACCAAACACAUUGGGUACUGUAUGAAUAAAACUAAAACAAACAGAAGACCAAAUUGUAUAGACACAAUGGCAAGGCAUCAGAGUGACUUGCUUUAGUGCAAACAUCAUACAUCUCAAGAGCGCGUUAACAUCAUUCAGAGUAAUUUUGUUGGCCUGUACAACAAGAAGGGACAGUAUUAACCUUGUCAGCCAGUAAACAUGAACCUUGUUUAGCAGAAAUACUAAGGGUCUGUUUGGUUGUUCGUACGACUCCAGCCUGGUUUAUAUCUUUCAUCCAGGCUUCUCUUAGCCUGGCUAGAGUAAUCCAGUUGGCUCUGUUUGGUUGUUUGUAUGAGCUUAUCCUGAAUGACCUAAGAUAGUGUUCGGUCGAUUCCAGCCUGGUUUAUAUCUUUCAUCCAUGCUUCUCUUAGCCUGGCUAGAGUAAUCCAGUUGGCUCUGUUUGGUUGUUUGUAUGAGCUUAUCCUGAAUGACCUAAGAUAGUGCUCGGUCGAUUGUUUCUCUGUAUCUUGUAUCCAAAAGAUGAUGUUUGGUUGAAUGUUUGGAACUGAGUGCAGUCACCACUUCUUAGAAAUGGUGAGGUAUGCCACAUGAUUCAUUCCAAUGAAAAACUAUUUAAGUCCUUAGUGAAUAAAUUGUUAAAUAUAUUUAAUUUUAUUUUUUAACAUUGACAUGCAUUUCCCCUAUGAUCUUGGGCAGAGAGUAGCAGUUUUGAUGACAGCUAGGCUAAGUAAGUUGAUUUAAGUCCUGUGUGUGUCUAUAUAUAUAUAUAUAUAUAUAUAUAUAUAUAGUACAAAUUCAUAUAUUAGUACUGCACCCUAACACUUGCCGAACAAUAUUUUAUUUUGAUAGAUUAGAUGCACCAUGCAGGUGUACAAUUAAAAAUAUGGCAUGAUUUCCGGAAGUGAUUUAUACAAAGCUACGUAAUUACCAGUCUGUCACUUGAGAAACAAUAAUAGGCAAUGUACAAGCAUGGUAGCAUGAACUGACGAAGCAUCAUACCCCAACUAAAAGGUUAUGCAUUAUAUUGGAGGAAGCGAGCACUGAACAAUUUACAAAGACGGCUCGGUUACAUAAUUAGCUGAGCUCAUUGUUCACGUCAGAACAUUGUUUUGUCGGAAUGACCGAAGGAGGUCAUUUAAUUAAGAUAGAAAGAAAAAAUUAUAAGAAAAGAUUUACAUCGACAGCUAGCUAUCGAGGAAGAAGGACGUGCACCAGAGCGCACGGCUCAAACCAUGUGCCAACUGUCCAAACAUACACCAUACAGAGAAAAGCCAAGCAACGAACCGACCAUCGCUAUACGAAACCGAUCGCCACCGAGCUAACGACACCACUAUGACAAGAAGACUCUAAAACGACGCUCUCACAAGGGUUACGACGCUAAAAGACGCCGUCGUCAUGUAUCAAAGACUGGAAAAUGUUUUCACCCAAAACUGAGCUCAUUGUUCACGUCAGAACCAACAUUGUAUGCCCAUUCCUCCCAAUGUUCAAAGAAUUUUGCAGGAACUCGACAGAGCACCUCAAAGCCAACUGCUGCCGUGCAUGAUGACUAGUUUGGAAAGCAAAACAUAUGUGACUUAAUGAGCAUGGCAGCCGAUCAGCUUCACGGCGAAAGCAGCAGCUCGAUGUACUGAUGUUCAACUGAUGUAGGGUGCUGAAACAGCAGGCUGAUAAGUCAGUUGUACCUUAAAGCCCACACUUAAAGCGCUUGUACCUUCCUCUGUAUGAACUGAAUAAUGUGUUCUGAUUCUUCUGCACAAGAAGGUUCUGCAACUUGUAAUCUUGCAGUACAGUUUGUUCCACGACCCCAUACCUUGAUAUAUAAUCACAAUCCUGAGAAAUGGUUUGUAUGCUAAUCUAUGACUAUGAACUUUACAUUGCAAAUAAUCAACUGUAACAAUUACCUGAAUGAUAUACUUCCUAAUUCAUUGAUCCACGGCACCUAAACAACCAGAAAAUAGUUAGCAAGAAGCAGUGGCGGAACCAGGAUCUCUGGACGCCUAGGGCUCAAAAUUGAAGACAAAACUACCUAUGAUAAGUCAUACACCUAAGUACAGUGAAAAUUUGAACUAAAAUUUUAUUAGCAUACCUCGUGGGAUGUAUAUUCAUGAUUUUCACUCUUCGUCAACAAUAGGAAGAGAACUUGAACCUAAUCCUAGAAGAUGAUAUUAUAUACGCAAGUGAUGAAAAUUGUAAGAGCUUAAUUAUUUAUAAAUUACAAAGCAAAAGCACAACAAACCUGUAGAUCGCUAGAUGUACAUAAUUUAUAUUUAUACGUAAGUUAUUAUAGUUACUUUUCUAAUAUAAUUCCCAUAGAUGAAAAGAAAUAUAACCGUUAGUUCAUAUAGUCAUUUUUCUUGCAAACUAUAAACGGAAAACAAGGAAUAAAAUCUGGAAGAGCAGCAACAAACCUCAAAACCACAUGUCCGCAACCAUUUGCUGUUUGAUAGGUGCAUCCCGUGUUGAACAAUUAAUAUUGCAAAAUUCUUAUCCCUAAAAUAAGACUUCAUGAUAUUUAGGAUCACCUGCGCUCGACAUUCUCUAAUUGACUAAUGGUUAAGAAAGGGAAAGAACAAAAAAAAAAUGAGAAAGGAAGAACUUGACUUGCAUUUUAGGUCUCUGACUCUUGAAGCUUGGGGAAUCCAAAUCAAACUACAGGGUCACUACCACACUUAAAGCGCUUGUACCUUCCUCUGCAUGACCUGAAUUAGUCCAUCCAGACUAAAUAAAUAACCUGAAUGAUAUACUUCCUAAUUCAUUGAUCCACGGCACCUAAACAACCAGAAAAUAGUUAGCAAGAAGAGGUGAAUAAUACUAUAUUAAUAAUAGCACAAAAGAAUUGCAUCGGAUGAACAAGAAAAUGUGACGUAUGCAACUCCUAAGAUUGAAAAUGCUGUGUUAUGAUGGUAACAAUUUAGGCUACGCCAGACCACAAUUUACAAGAUAAUCAAUGGCAAACAUAAAGCUUGCAAACUUGGCAACAGCAUUUACAAACUCAUCCCAGACAUAUAUAACAGAAUGCUGUUAGCAAAAUCUACGAUAAAAAAAUAGUCAUGUGAUUUUAACAAUACGGAUUUCACAUGUAUGUAUACCAUAGAAACAUAUGGUCUUCAGGCACAGCAUAAACAACAUAACUGAUCUUUCUAAAACUCAUUAAGUAGUGGUUGACUAUUUCAGGACAUGAAAACAUCAUAUUUUUGAACAGGCUUGUCAUGCUUCCAUGAAAAGUUGAGUACAUACCCCUGAUGUUAAUGCUAUAAUAACAGGCUCUAAACAAUGUAAUACCCACUUUUUGCCCUGGUUCAAAGCUUGGAAAUUCAAAUGCAAUUUUUCUCUACGCAAGCUACUCUUAGUCCUACAUUUUAUUAGAUUCCAUGGAACAUACAUCACUGACAAGAAAACAUCUCCUGUUACUAGCUCUAGGAGAGUUACCUCUGGGAACCGCAGUGGCAUGGGAUCUUCUUUUCCUCCAGUGGAAAUUUAUAAUUAUAAGUCAAUUCCUCGCCAGCAUAUAUACGCCUCUUUGCAUAAAUGAAAAUCUUCUUCUGGCCCUCGACAGUAAUUACUUUUGUAUAGCAAUUUGGCUGGUGUGCAAAAAAACAAGACACUAUCUAACAUGGUGUAAAAACAACAGUUAACAGUUUCAUGUUAAACAGCUUACAUCGCAAGAAUGGUUGAUGAAUCUUGCUAGCCCACCACGCUUAGUAGCAUCAACCUUCAUAAAUUAAGAAAGUAGGCACAAUUAAUACAUUAGAGCACAUGGUGCAUUCAUAAAAUAUGAUUAAUAUAAACCAUGUUGGACAGGAUUAUAAUCUGCAAAUGGAUAGGUAAUACAAAGAAGUUCAUGUCCCAUAAAACAUGGCAAAUAGAACACACCUUAGCAGCUCGGCUCUUAAGUUUUGCAGCCAUUUGCUUCUCGGUUUUCCUGCAUGAAAUAAUUUCAGGAAGUGCACUGCUAAAUAUUUCAUCAAUAAAAACUUUGCGGGCUGAUUUCAUUAUUCCAGCAUGCAGCUGAUGGCUUAUAUCCUCAACUAUAUCACUCAUUAAAGCGUUCAGCGACCCAGAAUCAUUGGCUGCAGAUUCUGAACGUUCUGCGCCCCCACUCCACACCAAUCAAUUAGUGAUACAAGCGUAAAUGGGCCAAACUUGCUGUCGACAUGGUAAAUCUACAGGAAAAAAUAACUGUUAUUGUUCAGACUAUAUACUAGUGAAAACCAAGAACAAUUCAUAAAUGUAAAUGCGCUGUAAUUGGGGAAAACACAUUAUAACUGAUCUGCCAUCUUGUUGCAUUAAGAUAGGUAUAACGAACUGAGGUUUCAUCAUAAUAAUAUCUUGGUCUUUUACCCAUAAGUUGAGUGAACUGUGAACCUAAAUGAAGUUUCGAAUUCUUUUUUCGGAUUUUUCGAACGAAAGUUUUCGAAUUCAAAUUUGAAAUUUAGUCAAAAUUUCUGAAAAAAAUCCAAAAAAAUAGAAAAAUACAGAGAAGAGGGAAGGAGAGGGCGAGGGGAGUGGGAUAACCUGCGGCUGACCUGCUGCCGCCGCCUUCCUUUCCCCUNNNNNNNNNNNGCCCCCCCCCCCUCCCCCUCCCCCCCCGCCGCCGCCCCCGCCGUCGUCCUGGCCUGCCAUGAUUGUCACUAGCCGCCGGCGACGGGCUCACCUUCCCUUCUCCGGCGAUGGGCCGUGGGGAGACGUAGGUGGGCUUGUUGGGCUAUUUGGAUCGGACACGGUCACCACCCAACCCAACCCAACCCAACCCAACACGGGCACGGGACACCCCUCCUAUAACACCAACGAGACGGACUCACCGGCAGCCCGACUGUUCCGCCGCCCACUCGCCUCGCCGGAAGCAGAGCACGCCUACGCCCUCCUCUUCCAUCUCCGGAUAUCGGCUACGCGCGCCCACCGGCACAGGCGGCACUCCGGCCGGCAGCAGCACGGGACGCCGACGGCACGGCACGGCAGUGCGGCACGCCGGCGCGGACCCCACCUACAGACCGGCGGGGGGGGGGGGCGGGGUGUGAGAUUCGAUAUCAGUUCUUUGGUUUUUAGUGAUGAUUUUAACUUAAUCCAUGAAUUUAAAUUUUAAUUUGGCACUUAAUGCAUAUAUAUAUUGAAUCACAUUGUUAAUUUUGCAAUUUUACCCGAUUUAUAUACGAUAAUUUUUGACUAGGUAUGCCCUUAGCAAAAAUCCUCACGUACGCAUGAUAUUCCAUCGAAAUUAAUUAUGUGUGAUAUUUUACCUAACAGUAGUCAUAGUCAUUGCAUCGAUCGGUUUGGGUUUAACUCGAUUACUGCCAAUUUGCUUUUGUCUGUAGUAGCUCGCCUUCUCCGGUUUAACAUGAUAUUACAUGUACACUGGUUUUUUGGCAGAGUACACUACUUCACUUGGAUUGAACUUCAUAUCAGCAAUUGUCAUCUAAAAAAAUAAAAGAAGAUAUUGCCUACUUAAUUGAAGUGUUACAAUUGCAAGUAUGUAAUUAUAUUCUUUUUCUGAUUUGUUUUGCUAUGUCAAUCUUGGUUAACUACUAGGAAAAUGAAAUUCUGGAGAAGAAUAGUAGCGCUAGUCCCGGAAGUGCAGUAUCCUGACCGGCCAAUCCCUUUCCGUCAAAAAGUGAUAUACACGGCCAUUGCACUUUUCAUCUUUUUGGUUGCCAGCCAACUUCCAUUGUAUAGGAUAGACCACCAACCUCGAACCAUUGACCGUGAUCCAGUAUAUUGGCUUCAUCUGAUUUUGGCGUCAAACCACAAUACUCUCUUGACGAAUGGGAUCAUCUCCAUUCUAUUACCUGAAGUUGCAAUGAAGAUCUCAGUGGAAACAAAGUCCAUAGUUCUCGAUGCCAGUGCACCUGAGACUAGUGUACUUCUGUAAGUGAUGGUUCUGUUCACUUUCAAUUAAUAGAUUUUUGCAUUGUUUUUGUUUGCUAAUUGUGAACUUUAUUUAUGAAAUCCAGGAAUGGAUCGCAAAAGUUGUUGGGAAUAUAUGUUACCAUUGUGGGAGCUGUUGUUAAUUUUUAUGUGCAAAAUCAACAUUUUAAUGUCAAUACAGCUCUAAUAAUGCUUCAGGUGCUUUGCUCUGAUAUUAUUGUCAUUUAUCUUGAUGACGUCCUAAAAAAGGGAUAUGGAUUGUUAUCUGGUAUAUCCUUGUUCACUGCCACCAACAUUUGGUAAGAUAUUGAAAUUAUAAGCAUCAUGGUUGAAUUGGUUUAAGACUGUAAGUUAACACUUGUCCCAUUUUCUAUACAGUGGAAAUAUCCUGUGGAAAGCCUUUAGCCCCAUGUCCAUCAUAUAUCCUGAAGGCGAUGAAUUUGAGGGAGCUGUUGUUGCCUGGGUUCAUCUUCUGAUUACUAGAACUGAUAAAUUGUCUGCAAUGUCCGAAGCCUUUUGUCGUCAAAACCUUCCGAAUGCUAUCAGCUUUCUAUCUACUUGCUUAUUUGUUCCACUUGCCAUAUUCUUCCAUGGCUUCUAUAUCGUAUUGCCUGUCAGGACCCGACAUAAUUUUCAAGCUUAUUGUCAUAUCAAGCUCUCACAUUUCUUGUAUGGGCCUAUCCUCUUGCACCGAGCACUGCUUAUACUUCCUUAUGCUGUCUCAAAGGUACUUGCUACACUGUUUCACUUCAUAAUGUGAUAGUGAUACUUCUUAGGCUUCCUGUGUAAACAUUGCUACCUGUCAUUUUUGGGUUGCAGGUGCUGUACAUGAAAUACAGUGGAAAUAUACUAGUGAACUUGCUGGGCAAGUGGGAUGGAUCUAACCAUUUUGGACAAUCUAUCCCUGUUGGAGGGAUUAUGUGCUACCUAACAACACCCCCUACGUGAGUGCACAUACUUGUGGAAAUAAUAUUGUCAACUCUUCUAAUUUCAAUUUAAAAGUAUGACUUGAUACACAACUGAUGCCUUUUGCUUUGCCUUAUGCUUCCCUUUUCCCUCGUGCAGCUUAGCUGAUUUGAACAGAGGCUCAUUCCAUGCAUUUGUAUACAUUGCCUUCGUGCUUAUUUCGUGUGUGAUUCUCUCAAUGGGGCUUAUGAUCUGUGCAUCUUCAAAAGGAGUUUCCAAUGAGUUUAUUGUGUUAAAUGUAUGGAUGAAACUCUCCACAGCAUCGUUGUUUUACCCUCUUUUCACUCUUACCGUAACAAUUUAUUUGUUAAGUUGUGAUUUGAUUCAAUGUAGGGGGUACGAAGCCUGAGGGUUGCCCAGUCCGACUCAAUACGUGUGAACGAAAUUUGGAGCCAUGUCAUGAAAGCAGCUUGUAUUGGUGGUUUUAGUGCUGGUGUACUCAUAAUUUUCGCAGAUCUCAUUGGAGUGCUUUGUUCUGGGACUGCAAUUAUGCUCGCUGUUUCUGCCAUAUAUCCUUAUGUUGAUGGCAGAGCUAGUGAGGUCGGCUCCUUUGGCUUCUAACUGAUUUGAGUUCUCUACUUCCUAUACAAAAAUGAGGAUGUAGAAAGAAUGCAAUCUAAUAGCCAGCCUCAAUUGUAACAAGAAUUAAUAGUGACUUGUUUAUUUUUCAUUAAGUCGUGUUAGUCUUGUAGCCUGCAACCAACCUUUGUUUUUUCU